RNAcentral lists this long non-coding RNA (59312 nucleotides) under Prunus persica (peach). RNAcentral describes it as "long non-coding RNA (PPER_LNC005190)". The record is from RNAcentral. Lineage: Eukaryota; Viridiplantae; Streptophyta; Magnoliopsida; Rosales; Rosaceae.
UCCAGCCAAGAGGCGGAAACCAACCAGCUUGGACUGUACGUGUUUAAGUUGGACAAAUCUAAGGAGCCUGUGGAUGAUUGUCAAGUGACACUGCUACACAGGCCUGACCCUGAAUGCAAGAUUUCCCACGAAGUCGACCCUAACAACAAAUCGAAAACUGCACCGGUGGCCACCCGGAAGCUCAACCUAUUGGAAGGAGACAGCGUCGAUGUCAUCGCACCAAGCCACCGCGUUGCCUACCCUCUUGGUUUGGUAGUUGAGAAAGCUCAUCCCGAGUGCGAGCAGUUCGCCAAAGCGCGCAAGCAUUUUCAGAACUAAUUUAAGGAAUUGAAGAUGAAAACCGUCUGAUAUUAAAUCAAUCUCCAAUUUCAGUGAAUUUUUCUUUUUGAUUGCAAAGAGAGAUGAAUUUUUCUUUCUGAUAUUCACAGUUAUGUUUCGUGAAUUCACAACAAGUAUAAACAAAGAAGUGUAAUUAGAAGUGCACUCAAGUAUUAUAUCCGUGAAGAUAUUGCCAUGUCGAUUAAUCUAGUCUUUUUAUUUUUUACUUUAUUAAUUCUUAAUUAAGAUUCAAUUUAGGACCUAUUUAAAGAGAAGUAAAAUACGAUUUAAAAUCUAUCUUAUAACCUAAUAAUCUCCUAAUCAAAAUACUAAACUUUUAACAUGUCACCUAUCAAUUUAGCCCUUAAUUAUACUAAGCUUAAAUUCCAUGGUCCAUACUAGUUUGAUUUUUAUUUUUUAUUUUGGUGUGAAAAUUUGGUCUUUUCUUUUAAAUAAUGUGCUAGAUAGUGUGAAAGUAGCAAAUAAAUAGUGAUGUGUGCAAAUUGGAUUUGACACAUAUCACAACCCAUAUCAUCAUUAAGGCCCUAAAAAUUCAAUCAUUCUGUGCCUGGUUAAUACGUUAAGUAGUUUAUGAAAUGAUUAAGAUCGAAGAGGAUCCAUGACUUGUAAUGGAUCACUUGUUCAUUUCCUUAAAAUAAUAAAAAAAUAAACUCGCAAUACCGACUCCAUUCGUAAUUCCAUCAAUUACUCGUCUAUCAAAAAAAUAAGUUAGUUUAGCUAAUCUUCUUAUACUGUUAGUAAAGGAUAAUGUGAAAUUAGGAAAUAAAUAAUGAUUAACGGACCCAAAACAUUGAAUUAUUGUGUGCCCAGUCAGAAAUUCUUCGAGGGCACGUAGACAGGUCCCCAUCUAGUAUACUAUGAGGAAAAGGACAGCCCACAACAAGUUUAUGUCUAUAAAAUGCCAGAUGCUCAUUGAAUGUCUUGUGCCCAUGAAAGAUUAAAUAUAUUUUCACAGAAUGCGUACCAUGGCUCUCACAAAUCAAGGCCAGUACCUCUGCUUAGCUUUUCUUUUCAUUUUGGCCAUUUGCUCCUCUCAAGCAUCGUCACGCCAAAUUUAUGAUGAGAAAACCAUGUUGGCGAGACAUGAAGACUGGAUGGCUCAAUUUGGGCCAGUUUUUUUUGUAAGGAUGCUGAGGAGAAACAGAGGCGAUUCGUGAUAUUCAAGGCCAACUUGGAGUUCAUUAAGCUUUUAACAAACACAUGAGCCAGAACUACUUCACUCUAAGCUUAAAUGAAUUUGCAGACCUAACCAAUGAGGAGUUUCAGGAAAUUCGUAAUGGUUACACGAAACGAUCCUCCAAAUCGAUCAUGUCCAAUUCCACGAAAGCUACAUGUUUCAGAUAUUGAAAUGUCACUGAUGUGCCUCCUUCAGUGGAUUGGAGAGAAAAGGGUGACGCCUAUCAAGGACCAAGGCAAAUGUGGUAAGUAUUAAACAAGUUGUUAAAUGAUGAUGCAUUCACUUUUUCACAACAUAACAUGUUAUUGAGUGAUGAGGCAUGUUAUUUCAAUUUUAUAGGGUGUUGUUGGGCGUUCUCAGCAGUGGCAGCGACAGAAGGGGUUAAAAAGCUCAAAACCAGAAACUAAAUCUCAGUAUCAGAGCAAGAGCUUGUGGAUUAUGACACUACAGGUCAAGGUCAUGGCUGUGAAGGUGAUCUAAUGGAUGACGCUUUUCAAUUCAUCCAACGCAACAAAGGCUGACAACUGAAGCUAAUCACUCCUACCGGGGUGUAGAUGGAACUAGUUGCAACACUCAGAAAGCUGCAUCCCAAACAGUGUCCAUAAACGGGUACGAGGAUGUGCCUAAAAACAACCAAAAUGCUAUGUUGCAAGCCGUCGCUAACCAACCAAUUUCGGUUGCCAUUGACGCAAGUGGCUGUACCUUCCAGUUUUAUUCAAGUGGGGUGUUCACCGUGGUAUAAACUUAGAUCAUGGUGUUACUGCAGUUGGAUACGGGACUAGUAGUGAUGGGACUAAAUACUGGCUGGUGAAGAAUUCUUGGGGCACAGGGUGGGGGGAGGGUGGAUAUGUGAUGAUGCAAAGGGGCAUUCCUGCCAAGGAAGGACUCUGUGGCAUUGCUAUGGAAGCUUCUUAUCCAACCGCAUGAUUAAUUAAAAUGCAUAUAUGUCAUAAUCAGCCCCGAUCUCUUGGACCACAGGGGUCCAAGAGACUAUGGUCACCCACCGUUAGAUGUAACAUCCAACGGUUCAAAAAAGUUUCUUAAAAGGAGUGCAAGAGUGAGUGAAUCGUUGAAUUUACAUCCAACGGUGAGUGACCACAAAUCUCUUGGAUCCCUAUAGUCCAAGAGAUCAGGACUGAUGUCAUAAUAUAGUGUGGUGUAUAAAAUAUGUAUAAUUGAAUAAUAUAGAAAGACGCUAGCUAUGAGCUGCUAUCCUUCCACUUUGAAAUCCAUGCCUCAAAACAUAGAAACAAUUAACCCAUGACGUGGAUUUGCUCUUAAAAUCUCACGCAAUUAAUUAGCAGCUAUAGCUAUGAGGUUGACAUGUUUUCAUUACCAUUGCAAGGUUAAAUCAAGUUAGAUUAAGGGUGCAUAUUUUUGCUCACCAUCAUUCUUAAUACUUGACAUGUAUCUAUGGGUAUAACCAUGGUUAUAUAAAUAUAUAACUAUGAUUAUGUCAAUGAACAUACGUGUCAAGUGUUAAGAUGGGUAGUGAGAAUACACAUCUGGUUAAAGUGGUGAGUAAAUAUAUUCCCCUAGAGUAAUCACAUGAUCAUGUCAUUGAUCCUACAAGGUAAAACUGUGAAACGACGUCAUUAGACUUGUUCGUGGGUGGCAUGGAUUGGAAACAGGUAAUUAACCAUAGAGUAUGCUACACUUACCACAUUUUACCCCACAUUUCUAUACCAGAUGAUGUGACAUGUCCAUAUCAUAUGCCAUAUCAAUUAAAUCAAUGAAGUGUAUUGUAAUAAAGAAAGUUUAACUAACAGUUUUUUUUAAAGUGUUAAUAAAUCAUAAAAAGAAAAGAAAAUAUUAAAUAAUUUUAAUUGAUGUGACUGUCCACCUCAUCUGCCACAUAAGGUGGUAUGGGAAUGUGGUAUACAAAUGUGGUAAGAGUAGCAUUAUUCGUAGAGAAACCUAGGUAUUUAAUCCCAUAAUUUUGUAUAAAUGGAAAGCAUAUUACACCGGAGACAAUGAAAUAAAAAGAUGUCAAAGCUUUCAAUAAUACUUUAUAUUUUUAAAGAGGGGGAAGUACAAUAUUAUGAUGAAGAGAUGAGUCUUUUUGUCAAUUAAGAUGCACCAUUUAUAUAUCCUACAUCCACAUUACCUUUUGCAUGAUCCUGCCAUGAACAUCCAAAAAUGCAACGAUCUAGUUAAAAUUCAUUUCAUUGUUCCUAUAACUUGUUCUUCCUAUACACACACAAAUUCCAUGAAUUAAUUGACAAUGUGAUAUUAAUAUUACCAUAUAACAUUUUCAACAUUCUCAUCUCGUCCUUGCAUUCAAGUAAAGAAAAGAAUACACGUAUCCAUGGAUUGUUGAUGUCUAAAUUUGACUCAACGGUUUAAGAUCGUAAAAACAACACAUUCACAUCAUGACACACACUCAAGUCAGGCUACGUCCAUAAUAUACAAUUAGUGAACUGAAUUACAUGAAUCUACAAGUACGGGAUAUAAAUGCUACAAGCCCUACAUGCUACAAUAUCUGUCCUAUUUUUGGGUCAACCAUUCCUUAUUCUCUUUGAUAGUACAAUCGAGUUUACAUGUUAGGAUCCUAACGGGGAUAUUAAACGCUGAAAAGGAAAUAAUCAAUUCCCAAUAAGCCCUUAAUAUCAUCUAACCAAGAUACAAGCCUCAUAUAUAUCUUUACAAAUCUUUCUAGUUCUUAAAGGUUAUAGCAUCCAUGUAACAACCCGAUCCAAAAUUAAUAUUUAAUUAUUAAUUUAUUCAUGUAAAAGAUAUUUUUACCCCGGAAUAUUUUAAUGAUUUAAAAGUUUACUUUUUAUUCAGGAAGGAAUUUGGGGAUUUCAGUUGUACCGUUGCGUAGAGCACAUCGAGAUGAGUCUGUAGACACGUAAUGGGCUCAAAUUCGAGUUGUUACGAGAGAGAUAUGAUCAAAAUUCAAGUAAAAUCAUAAUUUUGCCAAACUGGUUUUUAAAACUAGAAUCUCUCUCUCUCUCUCUCUCUCUCUCUCUCUCUCUCUCUCUCUCUCUCUCUCUCUCUCUCUCUCUCUCCCUCCCACCGAGCAGCCCCUACCCUUCGAAUUUUGUUGCACGGCCAGUGGCUCCAAGAGCCACCACAGCCACCACUUGGGGCGGCACCGGUCCCAAAAGGACCAUUGUGAGGUCCUCUUCUAGUGCUACACGGUCUCCGCCGCCAAACACCAGCACAGCUGCCGGAUUCUGCGGAAAUCCAGUCGAAAUUGACCCGUUUUUCCUUCGAUUGUUUCAGACGUUUUCGGGGUCCAAAUUUUAUGAUUGAGGUAUGCUUUUCGAUCCUUUCGAGGUGUUUUCGCUGCUGGUUGUGUUAUUUAGGAGAAAUUUCUGCGUUUUGGUAGUCAAAUAAGUAAUAGAAGUUUCGGCCUCCAAUUUCAGCCACUUUCGGCCAUUUUUCAGGGUAGGUCCAAGAACAAAAGUAGCUCCAAUUGAUGUCCUGAACCUAGGGUAGGAAGCUUGGCCAUUAAUUUUGAGAAUUUUCCAGCGAUCGUUAUCGGUUUGGGCACCUGCGCGCUGCUAGCGCGUGUGGUGGAGCGUAGGCACUGUAGCAAAGGGGCAUUGUGUCCUAAAAUGAUCUCCUGGGCCUCACGAGCGCGUAGGUACUUUCGGAUUCCUAUUUGGUUAACGUUUGGACCCCAAACGGAUUUUGCCUAUUGUGCGAUUUCCGGGUUCGAUUCAUUUGAACCGUUGGAUCAUAGUCAAUUUCAUAUAUGUUGAUCUAGGUAAUUCCAUAAUUGUAUAUGAUUUGACGGAUCAUAAAACAAAGUCCCGGAUCCUCCGAAAAUACCAACCCUAUGGCUAGGUUUACACUAAUUGUCCGAUCGUGGGUAAUCCGACCGUCCGAUCGAGACCAAACUCUCGGAACAUGUGUCCUAGGAAUUUUGGAACCUCUAGAAACUUUCGGAUCGGUAUUUUGAGGGCGUAGACCCCAUGGGGUCCCGGGUUGACUUUUUGAGACUUUAUCGCUUUUGAGUCUUGUGUCUCUUUUAGACCAUCCUAAAUAUGGGAAAAGCUCAUGUGGGCAUAGGAAUGACUUUAAACUCGAGGCAUGCACUUCUAGGAGCGGGGGUCAUUGUUUCGGAUUAAAUAAUGAUGUUGAGUUCUAUUGGAAGUUGAUAUAAAGGUCGGGAUAUGGUUUUCAAACCCAUUACAGGAGUAACCCCUAGUUGCUUUGAAACAGUUUAUCAUUUAUAAAUAUUGCCCCACGAGUUCCACGGACACUCGAACCAUGUGGUGUGAUGAAUGCGGCUCAGGCUGACUAAUGGUCCCCUGAGGCCUGCGAGGAUUACGACUCGGAUAGAAGUAGUAUGUCUAAGGCCUGCAAGGAUUACGGCUCAGAUAAAAGUGGUAUCUCCGAGGCCUGCGAGGAUUGCGGCUUGGAUAGAAGUGGUAUCUUUGAGGCCUGCGAGCAUGGAAUUGACGAUAUUAAUAGAAUUGACGGAUCAGGAAUAGGGGUACGACUAGGUGGAGAGAAUUUCAGUUAUGAGAUAUUCAAGCACCUUAUUAAAGGGGAAGAACUACGUGUGGCUUGAUCCCUUGUUGAGGGUACGUAGGCAAUCUAGAAUUCUAGGUGCAGCCACGAGGUCAAGUAAUAAAGUUAGUCCAGUUGAGUUAUUAUGAAAUCUAAUACAGUUCUAGAGAUUUUAUAAGAAAUUGAAUUGAAUGUUGUUAGCAGAAUGAUUUAUUCGAUUUAUUGAGGCCGGAGGCUAGAAUAAUAAGAUGCUUGAUUUUUGGAUAUAAUUUGAUACAUGCUGGCAGUUGGGUUAAUAUAAACAUAUAUGCUUGUUUUACAGGUGGGAAUUUUUGGGAAAUGUUCAAUUUAGAGGGGAGACUCUAUUGAAUUUUUAGCAGAAGUCGUACUUGAAUUUCAUUGAAUUUUGGUUAGAAGGGCUUUUUGGUCAAUUGUGUCCGGCAACCACCAGGUGUCGGACACGCACAUAUACUAAGUACUGGCCUAGCUUCUUAAGAGCAAAAUUUUAAUCAAUUUUUUGCUUUAGUUUAUGUGUUGAAGGUAGUGUAGAGACGUAGAGAAGAAACAAAAUAAUUAUCUGAAAUUCAAACAUACAAAGCCAAAACCAGGGAUAAGAAUAUAACGAUAUAAACGAUAACAUUAAUAUUUAGCAAACUUACAUAAAAGCAGAAGGGCAAUAGUGCUUAACAAAAGCUUCGCAGAAGCAGCACUUGGAAUAUAAAAACACUCAAACACUCAAGCACUCAAACACUCCAAAGUACAAAGUUUAUUUCUGGAGGUGAUAAUUUUGCGAUGAUCUACAACUGAGGAGAGGUCCUCCUUUUAAAGCUUCAGGGCUGUUGUCGUGUCAAAUAAAGACAAUAAGUCACAAAUCAGCCUACAGUAGAGCUGCAUCUUCACUUUGAGGAUUCUCGCUGAACUUUCCCGCAAACAGUCAAAAAGAAAAAGCAAACUUUUUAUAAAAGCGAAAGCAGAGCUAAAGCAGAAGAAUCUUGCUUUAACCAGAGGAAAAAUACAGUUAAACGACAAGAAAGAAAAAACUACAAUUUUACAAAUUGUCUCUUAUCAGACAUAAUAUUACUGAGCCCACCAUAAAGCUCCGUAUGGAAAUUGUCCAUGUCUUCAUUAGCAAAAGGGUCCACCUCAUCUUCAGGCUGGGUGGCAGAUGCUGAAGCCAUAGAUUCGUCAUCCAGAUCGAGAAUUUCAAGGACUUUCUUUUUCAACUCUUCUUUAGAAGAUGAUGAUCCUGGCUGGUCUAUCCACAGUUGCAACUUUUGGGAAACAGUCAGAUUAGAAGAAGUGACCAAAGGCAGAGCAGCAGCAGAGGCGGGAGAUGGGAUAAGAGCUGGGACGAUCUUGGUGGGAGCCAGGUGAUCCCUAGUGAAUUUAUCCCACUAUCCGAUUAAGAUACUUCAGACUAAAUUUGGAAUAUAAGUCCAUUCCUCAUCAACAUCCUCCGAAAUAAUAUAUUCCCAUUUUAAUAUACAUGGUAGUUCAUACAUUAUCAUGAACCACAUGAAUAAGGUCCUUUAAUCAGGAUGGUUUUUAUUCCAUUUGCAAAAUUUCAUUUGAAAAUAUUCCUUAAUUUCAGGAGGAAGGUAUUCCAAAGUAGGACCCCAAAUCAGAAAGAAGCUCUUGAACCAAUUAGGAAGUUCUUUAAGAGCUCUAAGCUUAAACUGGAUAAACCAAGUAUGAGAAUAUUUUUGCUUUUGGAAACAUAAAACAUAUUCCCAUGCCUUUUUAUAAUCCCAUAAAUUAUAGGAAUAUGGCCAAAUUUCAAGAUGGAUAAAUCUCACUACUACAAAAAAGCAAAAAGACGACGGUAAAUCAUCGUCGUGUAUUCGGUUUUCCAAUGGUCGUGGAAUCCACCGUCAUCUUUUCCCUCAUAAACCACGACGCUAAAUCACCGUCGUUGUUAAAAUAUACAACGUCAUCAACAAAUACAAAACGACGUCUUUGUACUGCAAAAAGAUCUAAAAAAGCAGUCGAGGAUGAGAACAGGCGACCAACUCUCUAAAAACACCGUCGUUAAAAAGGAAAAAUAUGACACAUAUUAACAGAACAAGGCCGCAAGAUAGACAUACAACGACGAAAAUUAAAAUAAGACGCCGUUAAAUAUCAUUUUCACGACAAUAAAAAAUAUGGCGUCUUUAAAUACAUUAGAAGACGACGUUAUUGAUACCUACUACGUCGCCUAUAUAAAAACAGCCGUCGUAAAAUAAAUUUUCCACUUCGAUUUUUCUAUAAAAGAUGACGUGGAAAUAGUUGUCAGUGUCAUUAUUUACGACGUAUGUAUUUAUAGAGUAGACGUUGAACAACGAAACAACGUCGGUUACAAAUAUAUGAGAGUCGUAUUACAAAAUUUAUACGUCCUAUUUUCAGAAACAAACAACAACGAUAAAUAUUAGACGUUGUUAAAUAAAACAACGUCGAAAACAAAUAAAAACACACUUGUUUAGUCUGCUAAAGUUCUAAAAAAUAGUCGAGGAUGAGAAUAGACGACCAACUCAAAUAAAUCACCGUCGUUAAAAAGGAAAAAUAUGACACAUAUUAAAAGAACAAGGCCGCAAGAUAGACAUACAACGACGACAACUAAAACACUACGCCGUUAAAUAUAAUUUUCACGACAAGAAAAAAUAUGACGUCUUUAAAUACAUGAGAAGACGACGUUAUUGAAAUCUACUACGUCUCUUAUUUACAAACAACCGUCGUGAAAUAAAUUUUCCACUUCGAUUUUUCUAAAAAAGAUGACGUGGAAAUAGUUGUCAGUGUCAUUAUUUACGACGUGUGUAUUUAUAUAGUUGACAUUGAAAUGCGAAACAACGUCGGUGGCAUUUAUAUAGUCGACGUUGUAUUUAUAUGUAUUCAUUACUCACGACGCACUUAUUAAUAUAGACGACGUUGAACUUCUAAACAACGUCGGUUCCAAAUAAAUGAGAGCCGUAUUACAGAACAUAUAGACGGCGUUGAUUAUGAUGAGAGCCGUAUUACAAAUAACGUCGAUUAAUUGAUAUUAGACGGCGGUUAUAAUGAAUUACCGUCGGAAUUCAUUUCGUUCCUCUUCGUUUAUAAAAGAACUUGCGACGUGGAAAAUGUAUGAUGACGUCGUAUUUUUUAACAUUCAGAUUAUAUAUCUCGUUUUUUAGACGUCGAUAUUAUGGGAUUGGAGUCGUGUUAUUUUGAAUUACAUGGCGGUUCUUAAUCCUUCCCCGACGUGAUAUCCUGAAUAAUUACUUCACAAUAGCGUCGUGGUUCUUCAUUGUUACGUUGCUUUAAGACGUCGGUAAAUAUGCUGAAUAACUGGUUCACAAUAACGUCAUGUUUUAUUUGAACAGACGUCGUUUUUUAUGCAGAAUAUAAUGAUGUAAUCUGGAACCAGUAUUUUUUGCACUGAUUGUUUUGUGGCCAAAACCUGUAUAAUGAAAGUGAAGAAAUCACAUUACAAUAUAUUACAAAAUUAAUGUCAUACACUGCCAAUUAGGGGUGGGCAUUAGAACCGCAAAACCGCAAAACCGAACCAAACCAAACCGAAAAAAUCCGGAAAAAACCGUGUUGACUAAAAAAGUCAAAAACCGAGUCAAAUCUGAACCGGACCGGUUCAGACCGGUUCCGGUUCCGGUUUUCUACUACAAGGAACCGUCCAAUCCGAACCGGUCCAAUAUAAUUAAUUAAUAUAUAUUUUUUAUAUUUUAUAUAUUUAUAUUUUAUAUUUUAUAUAUAGUUAACAUGUGGCUGUUUUGUAUUGGCUAUCUAAAAUACUACCGUACGCACACAUACACAGGAUCAUCACAACUAAAACACACGAUUUAGGGGUUUCUUCUUCCUUCUUCGAUUUUUUUCCUCUCCCUCUCUCUGAUUUCAGAGCCGCCGAACCCGAAGAACCUUUCCUUUCCUCUGCGUGAAACCAUUGUUGCAGCCAUCCUUGUUCUUCUUCAGCCGUCGCGCCGUCGUCCUCGUCACGCAAGCAGGUUCAAUUCUUCUGGCUUUCUUUUUUCUUUGUUUUUUCGUUUUGUUUCUUUUCCCCCUUCGAUUCUCUGUCUGACCAUCUCUAUGUCCUCCAUCAGCAGUUCGUGCAGAUCAUCAUCCAUAUUUCUGGAGUAGGUUGCAGCUUCGCACUCCUUUUUUUUUCUCCCAUUGACGCAGCCGUCCGUGCACUCCUCCUCGUCAGUUUUCCAUUGAAGACUCUCUCUGGACUCCAAGAGCAGAGAGCUGCUUACUUGGGCUCUGGUCAAAGUGGCUGGUUUUUUUUUAAAAAAACUAACUGGUUUUGAUGAAUUGGGUAUGUGUAGAAAUUGUGGAUCAAGAUGGGAAGUCGUCACUUCUUUCCCUGUGAAAGCGUUCGACUCUGUUGUUCUUGCCAUCUAUGAAGGUUUCUGCAACUUGAAACAGGUUCAUUUCUCGCAAAUUUUUGUUCUUUUAUUCGUUGGGAUUUUGUUGUCCUUUUGUAUAUUUAGUUAUAUCCUCUGGUUGUUUGCUUAGAAAAUGAAAGAGUGAAAGCACGAAUCAUAUUUUAUUUUAUGUUUUCCACUACUUGAGAAGUUCAAAGUUUCAAAACAAUUAAGCCAAGUUGUUAAUCUUCAAUAUUGUUAUCUCUGUUUGCAUUUGUAUUUUUAUCAAACUUUCAUGACUGUAUAUUUCUUCUGCUCAUUAUUUGUUUAGGGAAUUAGAUAUGGUGUUUCGGUUUGUGCUCAUAUUGUGCAUUCAAUUUUUUCAAUUUUGCAGUUUUGCAGAUUUUGAGAUUUUCAGUUUUUCGUUUUGCUUUAUUACUGCUGUCAUAGGCAACUAUUUUGAGAAAUUGGCUUGCUUAGGGUUCUUUGUUUUUUCGUGCUGAAUCCAAUGAUGCAAAGAAUGUCAAAAUUGGGCUAGUGGUUUGAAAGCUAAAGGCUAAAAACUGAACAGAUGUUAGAUUUGUCAAAACUGCAAUUUGAAACCCUUUAUUUUCUUGCUUGGCUCAAGUCUAGUUAAUUGGUUUCUGUUUUUCAGUUGCUUUCUAGUUAAGUGUUGUUAGCUUGUAGUUGACUUUUGUUUGUUGUUUCGGUUUGAUUUACUAGUGUGCAUUCAAAUUUAUUAAUUGGUUGUGCAUUCAAAUGGAUUAAUUGAUUAAUUGACAGUGUAUAACAGAUUUGCUGCAAUAUUUUUCAGUUUUUCAGUUUUGUAGUUUUUCAGUUUUUCAGAUUUUCAGUUUUGCAUAUUUUCAGUUUUGGAUUGAAUUUGGAUUGUAUUUUUGUUGAAGUUGGAUUCAUUUUGAUGAUGUUGAAGUUGGAUUGAAUUUGGAUUGAAUUUUUGUUGAAGUUGGAUUCAUUUGAAUUUGGAUUGUAUUUUUGUUGAAGUUGGAUUCAUUUUAAUGUGUUGAAAGCUUGAUGGAACCUCAAAUUUGGGGUAUGUUAGUAUAUAAAAUACAUUUUGGGCAGAUUUGUUAAAAUUUAAAAAAAAAAAAAAAAAAAAAAAACCGGAACCGCAGGAACCGAACCGGAACCGGACAGGUCCGGGUUGGUUCGGAUUUCUGUAUGGAUGUUGAGCAGAACCGGUCCAAACCGAACCGGUCUGCACUAUCGGAUCAGGUUCCAUUUUUCCCCCGGAACCAGUCCAAACCGAACCGUGCCCACCCCUACUGCCAAUUACAUAAGCAUCAUUCAAUCCAUAUAUCUUCACACCCAUCUCGAAUAUUUUGACCACCUAACUCACCCACCAGUUCAUCAAAUGUGUCAACAUUUGGCAUCCCUCUAGUAAAUGGCUCACACUCAAUUAUCACAUCACCUAAGACUUCAUCACCAAUAACAUCAUUAUAUUCUCUAUUAGGCAUUGAUAACACUACCGACCAACCAUGAUGCAUCGGGUCGUCAACAAAAAAUAUUUGUUUGACUUGAGAAGCCAAAACAAAUUGGUCAUUCCUAUGUCCAAUUUUACUCAAAUCUACAAGGGUAAAUCCAAGUUCGUCGACUACAAGACCAGUACUAUCUAUCCAAUCACACCUAAAGACUGGGAUUGUAAACUUUUGGUAGUCAAGGUCCCAAAUUUCUUGAAUGACACCAUAGAAACCCAUAUUUGAGAGAAUUGGGUUUUUAUCCUUGGCACUAGCAACUUGCAUGGUAUGUGCAAGUAAAUAAACUCCACUAUUUUGAGUUGUCCGCACAUCAUCUCGUGCCUUGAUAUUGAAUUUAAUACCUUUAAUAAGAUAGCUCCUAUAUAAUGGCAUUGCCAUGUUUGGACCAGCUGCUAGCCACUUUAAAUUUUCUGAUACGCCAUGAUUGUCUUCCUCAAGUUCACUUUGAACCUACAAAUUAAUCAUAUCUUAAUUCAAUCUAACAUAGAAAUAAGAAGAAAAUUAAAAGAGAAAUAUGUUAUUCAACAACAUAUACCUUGAAGCGUAGCCAUUGAAUGAAAGUGCUAUUGUGCUUAUCCUGCAGCCACUUUGUUCUCUUUCUAAAUUUUGGAUAAGCAGUCUUGAUGUGGAUCAUAUGUUGCCUACAUGACACGAAAAAUUCAAGCAUUACGGUCCCAAAUAUAUAAGCUAAACAUAAGAAAUAAUUUAAAAUGGAAACUUAAAGAAUAAAACUCAUACGUACUCGAUAUAAGGUAGGACUUCCUCCGUAUUCUCCAAGACAUAUAGAUGUGCUUGAUUCAACAGGUCCUGUUCAAUCGUUGUCGUAUGCCUAAAAAGGCGUAGUGUCUCAGUUUAUUUUCAAGAACCCAAAACCCAUUAAGAACACAACAUAUAUAUGAAACCAAGCAAGAAACCAACAUAUACAUGAAACCAAGCAUGAAAACAAUAAAUCCAUUCCCAAUUCAACAUAACAUAGGGUGAUUAAAAGAUCCGACAAAAUUAAAUCCAUUCCCAAUUCAACAUAACAGAUAAUGUAAUCUAUGAACCCAUUAAACAGAAAAUCCAUGAACCCAUACCUGCACAUUAUUAACAGAUCGCAAAGCAUAUACCUAAAACCCUUUAAUAAAACAACCUAAUAUCAUUCAAUGAAUUUACAAGGGGAAGAUAGGGUUUGUACUUACAGGUUGGACGAGCUCACAGAUUCGACGGAGCCUGGAAAGUGCAACUUUUAAUUAGAGCAGAAGUGAGAGAGCGAAAUGUUAUGUUGCGCGAAAUCUGAAAAUUUUAGGGUUCAGGGUUAGAAGUAUAAGAAUAAGAGCCAAAUCUAAAAAAUUUAGGUCGCGCGAAAAUUUUUAGAGAGCGCGCUCUUUAAAACGUCGAAAGAAAAACCAUAGCGAAAGUUCUACAAGAACCGACGUAAAUGUAAUAUUCCACGACGGAAACACUGAACGUAGCGCCGUUUAUUUUGACGCUUGAUUUUUCGGAUUAAUUUUAAAUUAAUUUUGAAUAUUUUGAUAUAAAGACGACUGAAAAACCACGUCAGGGUUAAGAAAUUGAAGACGUUGUAAAUUAUAAUAGAUGACUUAUAUAUUAAAAUGACGUCAUUUAAAGUAGAAACCAUGUCGGAUAUUUUACUGCACGACGUAACAUAUGUAUUCCACGACUCAACCACCGUCGUUAAAAAUUAAUACCCUAAACCCUUAAAACUAAAUUAUAUAAUUUAAAAUUUUAAGUUUAUAAAAGGGUUUAUGGUUUUACAGCCUAAUAUAUACCCUAUACUACUCAAAAAUUAUACUUUAAAAAUAAACCCCAAUAAAUAACAACCCUAAUCUCUAAACCCUAGACUCUAAACCCUAAAGCAUAAAACUAGAAGUGAUUUUAUGACUCAUCAAAACAAUUUUGUUUUGGAUGGUCAUUUUAAAUUUUUGUUAUUCAAAAUGAAUUUUUUCAAGGUUUAGGGGGAAGAAAAUAUAUCAAUGACUUCAUAGGAGUUGACUUUGCAUUUUUCUGAUUUAUUUUAAAUUUAUUUUGAAUAUUUUGAUAUAAAAAUAAUAAAAUAUUCUUAUCACAACAACAAACCACGUCGGUGUUAAUAAAUUGUAGACGUUGUAAAUUGUAAUAGACGACUAAGUUGUUAAAAUGACGUCGUUUAAAUGAGAAACCAUGGCGGAUAUUUAACUAUCCGACGUAAAAUAUAUAUUCCACGACUUAACCGCUGUCGUUACAAAGUACUACCCUGAACCCUUAAGAAAUUGAAGACGUUGUAAACCAUAAACGACUCAAUUGUUCAAAAAACGUCGUCUAAAUAUCUUUUUACGUCGGAUUUGUUUAAAACGAAACAACAAAAAACGACAGUUUUUGACUUUAUUAGGUCGUUGGAAAAGUAUUACACGUCGGUUACACAAUUUGUAUGUUUGUUUUUUUUUUUAAUUUAAGAAAACCCCAACAAAUUUUUACAUUAUAUAUUAUAGACAAAAUUUGUACAUUAUACAUAAAUAUCAAGUGGUCAAUAAUUCCCCUAUUCCAUGUGAAGGCAAACAAACUCUGCCCAUUCAUUCCGGACUUCAUCAAUUGCUUCUUGGGGGUAUGGCGCUUCCUGUUUUCCCUUGGCAUACUGCAUAAACAAUGACUAUUAGGGUUUAUAAAUAAAAAGAAAUUCAAUCACAGACGAUGAUAUUUUUCAUAACCGACGUAGUAUAUCUAUUCAACGACGGUAAUUUUACAUGACCGUCGUUGAUAAUACAAAAAACGACGUAAAAUGUAUGAAGGUAAUUUCUUCUUACCUUCUUCUCAAACCCCAAGGAAGGAUCCAUGAUGAUGUCCCUCAUGAAACGCAUCACAUAAUACCCGCAUUCGACACUGCUGGGUUGCUUUGGUGUGCCUGACAGAGUUUUCCAAAUUACUGUUUUACGGCCUGAUCUGGCUAUGUGAGAAUUAUAUAUUUUUAUAGCACUGUUCACGAUGUUUUUGCCCUCUUCAUCGACCACACGAUUUCCAGGCAGAGGAUCCAGAAAAUAGACGGUUUCCCUCUUUGCUCUCACAAUCAGCAAGAUCCAAUGACAGCUGCACAAAAUUAAUAUAAAAACGACGGUUAUUUACAAAAAUGACGUAUUAUAAUAUUUCACAAGACGAAAUAAAGUAGCAAUCGACGACAUUAUAUAUUUAUCACGACGAUAAAUAACUACCGACGUGGUUAGUAGUUUCAAACAACUCAAUAAAAUAAAACACCGACGUGGUUAGUUUAUACGCUGUCAUUUAUUGAAAAUCAUAAAAACAAAAUCCUGUUAAAGAGACUAACCCUGGAUUGUAAGGCAUCAUGAAAAUCUGUUCACCAUCAGUCUUCUGAAGUCGAGCUGCUACCAAUCGUGAUCUGUCAGCUAUUGUCCCAGAGUUGGCACUAACUGUAGCAGGGUCGAUAAAGCCAACCAUGCUGCACAUAUUUGCUUGUUUCAAAAGAUCAUGUAAGUACCUAAAUAUAUAAAAUAAUAUAAACAAGUCAGCACAAAAAAACACACGACGGUUAUGUAUAACAAAACGACGUAUUAUAAAAUUUCACACGACGUACUGAAAUAGACAACGACGUUAUAAUAUAUUUAUCACGACGGUACAUACUAACGACGUGGUUAGUUAGUUAAGACGACGCAAUAAAUAAACCAACGACGUAUUAUUUUAGAAUGACAAACCUCAUAUAUACAGCAACCACAGUAGCUCCUAUUUCUUCCAUGCCUGCAAAUUGUGUAAUAUCUUCAGGCAGAACGAAGGUAUCGCGUUCUAGACCAAACACCUCCUUAUCAAUUGUAAAGUUCAGGGUCUUAUCCUGAGGCACGAGUGUCGUUUCCACAUAACGACAAAGGGAUUUUAAAGAAGAUGGCGCCUCCACAUUUGAAUAAUCAACAACUUUAAUAACCUGUUUAAAGAAAUAAAAAAAAUGACGUGGUAAUUCAAUAAAAACGACGGUUUAAGGAAUAAAACGUCGUCUGAAAAGAAUUUAAACGACGGUGAAAAAACCGUCGUGGUGAAUAAUUUAUUACGUCUUAGAAAAAAAUUCCGCCGUCUAAGUUGUAAACAAACGACGGUUUAAAGAAAAAAAUUCCGCCGUCUGAAAUUUUGAAAAACAAAUAAAAAAGGCAAAGUUAUGUGAACAUACCUGGUUGUCAUGCUUUUCUUCAUCUUCUUUCUCCUUUUCAUCUUGUUUUUCUUCUUUCUUCUCUUCAUCUAUUACGCCGGGAAUGACUAACACCGUCGUCUAAAAACCACAAAGUUUUAAAAAUAACGACGUUUAAUGGCGUGUAAAACAUGUAAACUAAAUACGACGUGGUAUUGAAAUACAAACGACGGUUUAUUUUUAAAAUCGUCGUGGUAUGUAUUUCAAACGACGGUUUUAUUAAUAAUAACGACGUCUAAUAGUUUUUAAAAAAACAGAGAAUUCAAAGUUCAGAUAUGUUACCUUUUCUUCCUGAUGUUUCCCAUUUUUGGCAGUAUCAUCCUCAAAAUGUAGGGAUCUCACAUCACCUCCAGAGCAGCUUGCUUUGUCAGACAUUGGAUUUUUGGGACUUUGGCUAAUUCUUGGUUUAAGCAUGCUUGGAUCAAAAUUGAGAAUUAAUUGGAAAAGCUGACUCAGGAAAUGCUCCCUCUCAGCCUCUACCAAUUGUUUGGUUCUAGCCUCCAUCCUUAAAGCCUCUUCCCUUGCCUUAGCUUCCAUCUUUUUAUUCUCUUCUUGAAGGAGAACUCUUAAACUGUCCUUUAAACGGUCGUCAAAGCUCAUCCUCUGUGGUUUGGGUAAAUUGAAAUAUUGCCUUGGGGAAAUCCCAGCACCUACACCUCUCACUCUGCCUGGAUGCUCGGGGCCCAAAGCCAUGGUCAGCACAUCAUUGCUGCCAGAUAUACUGACUUUGCCUUCCGAGACUUGUUUUUGCAAUUCAUCCUAAAACAAAGAUAUAUAAAAAAGUAAGAUCAAAAAACACACGACAGUUAUUUAUAUACAAACGACGUAUUAUAUAAUUUCAGACGACGCAAUAACAUAUAAAUCGACGUUAUUAUAAUUUAUCACGACGGUAGUUAUACCGACGUGGUUAGUUUUUUAAAACGACGAAAUGAAUAAACCACCGACGUCUUAUGCUUUAUUUACAGGUAACAGAGGGAUGAUUCAAUAUUCACACCUUUAACGACCUUGUUUAAAACAUUUCGACAUAGUAAUUUAAUACAAACGACGCGAAAAUGAACCAUCGACAUCUUAUGCUAUAAUUACAGAAAAUAGAGUACUGAUUCCUGAUUUAGACCUUUAACGACGUUUUUUAAAAAAUUUCGACGUGGUAAUAUCAUUCACACGACGCAAAAUAUAACAUAAGACGUAAUAAGAAUUAUUCACAGUUUAAUAAAAAUUUAAAACAGAGUGAGUAGGCUUACAAUUAAUUUUGCUUUCUCUGCCACCUUUGGAUUCGGGAUGUUACCAUGUUUGUCCUGUCUAGCUCUCUUCCAUAAGGUAGAUCGAUCAAUUUCUACCCCAGGCAUGGUUUCCUCCAAUUGAUCCUCCAAACCAGCAUAUCCUUUUCGAGACCUCUUCCCUUGCCUUAGCUUCCAUCUUUUUAUUCUCUUCUUGAAGGAGAACUCUUAAACUGUCCUUUAAACGGUCGUCAAAGCUCAUCCUCUGUGGUUUGGGUAAAUUGAAAUAUUGCCUUGGGGAAAUCCCAGCACCUACACCUCUCCCUGUCAUUGGUGUAUCGAAGGAUAUAAUGCCUCGUUAGUGUAGACUUGAAAUCCUUCCAUUUCUUGGCAGCAGAAGCUAACACAGAGUUCUUGCCCCCUUGACCUACCACAAAAGCAAUGUCAACUGCUUCCCAAAUCUGCUCCUUUAUAUCCUUGGGGAUUUGAGCCCAUUUCAUGUCCACAAGUGGAACUCUGGAGCGUGCCAACACACCAAUGUAGGACUGCAUCUCACUAUGUGCUUGGCCAAUUCCUUUCCCCCUUUUAUUGUACUCAACAAUUGGCCUGAGUUUCUGAAGUUUUCUCUUCACAACACGAGGCAUUGUGCUCAUACCUCGACCAGACUUUGAAUCAUCAGAGAUUGUUGUCGUGCUGGUUGGUUCUGUCUCAGCAGAUGAUGAAGCAAACUUCAUCUUCUUCGAAGACUUCUCUUGAGGAGUUACCAUUCCAAGCUCCUUACCUCCAUUUUUCUUGGAGCCAGAGUCCUUACUUUGGUCUUGAGAAACCAUUUUUACAGACAAAACUGCAAGUGAAAAUAUUUCAGGAAAAGAUUAAGAACACAAACGACGGUUAUUAAUAAAAUACGACGUAUGAUAUGAUUUUAAACGACGCAAUGAAAUAAUCUCAGACGUAAUAAAUGUUUAAAACCAAGGUAAUUAAACAACGACGAAAUAAUAUAAAAUAAGACGUAAUAAUAACUUAUUACGUCGAUAUUUACCGGACGACGUGAUAAUUAACUAUAAACGACGAAAUAUUUAUAUAACGUCGUGGUAUUGAUGUUCACACGACGUCAAUAGUAAUAUACCGUCAUCUAUAUAAGGAUCCAAAACCCUUCUUUCUUUCUCUGUAAAUGUUUGAUUGCAGAUUUGAUUUUUCUGAACCAUGGUUUUUGUUUUCUAAUUUGAUAAAAUACAAGGCCAAGAAAGAAAAUUUUGGAAUCUUAUAUAGACGACGGUAUUUUAAUAUGACGUCGUGGUAUUAACAUUCACACGACGUAAAACAAUAAGAUACUGUCGUCUAUAUUAGAUACCAACCCUACUUUCUUUUUCUUUAUAUUUUAUCAAAUUAGGGAAAAACAAAAACCAUUGUUCAGAGAAAUCAAACCUGCAAUUAAACAAGCAAAUAAAAAAAAGACUAUAAUUUUAAAAACAACUUUGUCAAUUUUCAGACGACGCUAGAACGACUGACGAACCGUCGUGGUCUACAUAUUUAACCACGUAAAUAAGAAGCUACCGUCGUCUUAUUUAGUUGAGGUAGUUGUCUUCAAAGUAGGAAACUUUCCCUCUUUGUCUGUAUAUUUUAUCAAACUUGGAAAGAAGUAAAAUGAUUUUGGCCAGAAAAAAGGUAAAAAGAUUUUUCAAAUAAAAAACGUAUGAGCAUGCAAAACAGCAACCAAAAUAGUGAAAAUGAAAGCUUACCUUUUGCGUGCAAUGAAAGCAAGAGGAAGACGAUGUUUAAGUUUAGAGACGACGAAGAAGACGAGAGGAAGACGAUGAGAUACUCUGACAGUGUUCUGACAAGGAAAAAAGACAAAAAGUUUUCUCUGGGAGAUUGAAAUUUUUAAUCGGGUUUGGAAAUAGUGCAUGUGUAAGUCAGGUAGACGAAAAGUUGCUUACAUAUAAAACCAUUUUAAAAAAAUAAUACGGCGGUUACAUAUAACUACGACGUAUAAAUUACAAAAUACGACGGUACAUUUAACUUCGGACGUGAUAAAUAAAUACGACAGUAGAGUUGUAGGUACCGUCGUAGUAAACUCAAAAAUUAAAGUACAUAAGUAAUAACUCACGUCAUGGUAGAUUAUUUAACACGUCGUUUUUAUUAAUGUACCGACGUGGAUUUCUGUAAUAUAUGUCGGUCAUACCGACGUUGAUUUUACAAUUUAAACGGCGGUUUUUUUGUAAGGACCGCCGUUGGUUUUAAAAAUUUAUUCUAUAAAUUUGUCGCUUUCAUUCAUUUUCGGUUUACAUUUAGGGUUCCAAGUUCUUCCUCUCUCAGAGACACUGUCUCUCACAUCUCAAAGACAAUAAUUUGGAUGUCUUUCUCAAAGAGAAAUUGAGCUUACUCGCAUCAAAUCUAUGUCCACAAGAAGAAGCUUGUCAACUAGCCUUCUCACUUCCUUGAUCAAGCCUGAUAGGACACUUAGUGCUUCUGAAUACUCCUUGCUUUCCAUCAAAAGAGAUGCAAGCCUGGCCUCCACUCGCUGUCGAAGGAAAGUUCGCUUCUCAGGGAAAUCUGAAGAUCAGAUGUGCCUGAUCCUCUGCUUGAUUUUCUUGGCUAAGAAGAUCCGUCAAAUUUAUGAUAGCCUCUUCCUUUAUCCGUAGAGCUUCAGAAGAAGAAGAUGGGAUUCAAGAAUGCGAUAAAGAAUAGAAAUGGCUUCAGAUGGCCUCUAAAGCAUGAGCAAUCGAAUCAGUAGUUGCUGGGAGAUAUGAUGAAGACAUUGUCAAUGCUUUGAACUAUACAAGUCCUGCAGAAAGAUAAAGGACCAAACUGUUAAAGAAACAGAAACAACGGCGGUUUUCUGUUCUACCGUCGUCUUUUCUCGUCGUCUAUAUUAAGGUAAGAUGGCGGUAGAUUUAUAAUUACCGACGUAGAUUAUUUUGUUAAACGUCGUUAAGUGUAAUACAACCGACGUGGAUUUUAUUUUUAAAUUAUAAAUAGAGUUUUUUUUUCCGAAUUCUUUCAGUUUUAGUUUUCAAUUACAAAGCGUGAUAAAUAGAUUUUUCUUUCCCGAGGAAAUUUAAAAUGAGGGAAAUUAAUGUUCUAGAAUUUGUAAACUAACACGACGCAAUAUUACUAACCCGAGGAAAUUAUAAAUAGAUUUUGCUUUCCCGAAGAAAUUUUAAAUUAAUUCAGUUUGAAACAACGACAGUUUUUUGUUAUGCAGUCGUUUUUAACUAACACGACGCAAUAUUUGUUUUGCGACGUGGAAUCUUUUCAUUUAACGUCGUUAGGUUUAAUAUAACCGCCGUGAAUUUGAAUUUUUAAAUUAUGAAUAGAAUUUUUUUUUCCGUGACCUUUCAGUUUAUUUUUCAAUUACAGUGCGUUAUAAAUAGAGUUUUUUUUCCGGAGGAAAUUUAAAAUGAAGGAAAUUAAUGUUCUGGAAUAUGUAAAGUUUUUUUUUUGGAUGACAGAUUUAAAUAAAAUAAGAAUAUAAAAACAACGACUGUUUUUGUAUUACUGUCGUCGUUUUUCGUCGUCUUAAGUAAGACUCAGACGACGUAAUAUAUUUGUUGAGCGACGUUGAUUUGUUUUUUAAACGUCGUUAGGUAUAAUAUAACCGUCGUUGAAAAUUGUCUCUCUGAUUGCAAAUUUACAACGACGUUAGGUAUAAUAUUUGUAGAUACACAAACGCACACACAUCAUCAACUUCCAAAAAAUUGUCUCUCUGAUUGCAAAUCUGUGUCAUCUGUUAAGAUUAUGAUGUGGAACAGAGUUCCAUCUGGUAAGAUUUCGUAACCCUUGGGAUCUCAGAAAAAUCUGAUUAUGUCGGCGGUUUUCUAUAUAAACCGUCGUGGUUAUUUCAAUUCUUGUCAUUAAGUAGAUCUACCGACGUAGGAUAAGAAAAUCAAAGAAAAAAAUUGUUAACAAAAAUUCUUAUUAAGACGACGGUUUAAAUUAAAGGUACGACGUAUAAAAUGAAUAAAUACGACGUUAAAUUUUAUACGAUUUAAAGAUAACGUCGUAGAACUAUACGAGAAUGACGUCGAUAUAUUUAUAUUUUCCGUCGUUGUACAUUAAUUUAAUACGGCGAUAUUUUGUAUUUUAAAGCCGUGGAUUUGUUUGUAAUUAUACGGCGUCUUAUACGAAAACCUCGUCGUGUUAUUUUAUGAGUAAAAACGGCGGCUUUUAUGGAAAUCGUCGUCUUUACUUUCUACGUCGGUCGAUUCAUAACUUCUGCCGUUCUUUGUUGGCUUUGAUUUUACACUGCGGAAAUCUGUUUCAAAUAGACGUCGGUUGUUUAAUUAGGUACGUCGUUGUUUUUGAACAGCCAUUUGAAUCUCCAUUUUUUAGUUGUCUAAGGUGGUAUUACACGACGGUGUUUUUAGAACCGUAGUCUUUUUAAAAACCACGACUGUUUUCACUUUGACCGUCGUUGUUUUCUGGUUGUCUUUUUCACUUUUUGUAGUAGUGUCUUUUGGCCCUUUCAGGGCUAGGGCCCCAUUCUUCCAAGAAAAUGACAUUUAGGAUUUGGAUUUUGGGGAAUGCUAUGGUGUUAGCAUUUUCACCUCUAUGACGAUGAACGAUAUUAACAGACUUAGUUUCAAUUAGAAGAGUUUCAUAGAAAAUACAAGGCUUAUUCAAUGGAGGAAGAUUAUCCCUUAAAUAUUUUUUACCCAGAAAAUUUGGGUGUUUAUCUAGAUCAUUCAUUUCAAUGAUUGCUAUAGACAUAUUCAUAUAUUCACGGAAUGGAUUUUCAGCAAUCUGCUUCUCCUUACCCUUAUUAUAUGGAGAAGAAGACAUUAGUGGCUUUGGAUCAUUAGGGGAUGACUUGGUAAGAGCAGAAGAGCUUUUACUUGGAGUCAUUUGUCUGGAACUUCUGGUUUGCACCUUGCAAAAAUUCUCGAGUUAAAAAGUCCGGGAGUGUGUUAGUUUCAUCUUUAAUAAAUUCAAUAUCAAAAUCGAAAGCAGAAACAAUUCCUUGCCAUCUUGCAAAAUUUUGUUUAGAUGCUAGAUUUUUAACAUCCUUGAACAAAAUGUCUUUGGCCGCCUUGCAAUCUACUCUUAUAAAAAAUUUCUUGUUUAAAAGAUCACUUUCAAAUUUAGAGACAGCAUGGAUGAUGGCUAACAUUUCUUUCUUAACAGUGGAAUAAUUCUUUUGAGCUGGUUUCCAAACUCCAGAUGUGAACCUAACUAAUUGUUUCGAGUUAUCAACCCUUUGUUUUAAGAUUCCCCCAUACCCUAUUUCUACAAUUUUAAAGGGAACUUAUCAGCAAAGGAUAUUGCUCUAUUAAUCGGAACUAUUAGUCGCUUAUUAAUAUUAUGUCCCAAAAAGCGAACUUUUGAAGAAAAUAGUUUCAUUUUCUUUGCCGAUACCACUAAUCCUGCAUGUUUCACAACUUUCAAGAAAAUAUUCAGAUGUUUAAAGUGAUGUUCCAAAGAAUUAGAAUAGACUAAAACAUCAUCAAUAUAAACAAUGGUGAAAGCAUUGUAAGGAUUAAAUAUAUCAUUCAUAAUAUUUUGAAAUUCAGAAGGGGCAUUUUUCAAUCCAAAAGGUAGAAUGUUCCAUUCAUAAUGUCCAAAAGGGACAUUAAAAGCUGUUUUGUACUUGUCCUUUUCGGCGAUCUGGAUUUGCCAAUAUCCCGAUUUCAUGUCAAAUUUAGAAAAGAUAACUGCCUUAUUUAGUCUGUCCAAAAGAUCUUUCUUAUUAAGUAUCGGAUAUCUAACCCAUUUUAAGGCUUUAUUUAGAGGUUUGUAAUUUAUCACCAAUUUGGGUACUCCUCUUUCUAAUUCAGCUGCGUUUUCAACAUAAAAAGAGAAACAGCUCCAAGGAGAUGAGCUUUUCCUGAUUAACUUCUUAUUUAAUAAAGCUUGUAUUUCAAAUUUACAAAUUUUCAUUAGCCUAGCAUUCAUUUGAAUUGGCCUAGCUUUGGUUGGGAUUUUCUUUUCAUCAAAAUCAGGCUCAUAGGGUAAUUCAAUUAUGUGCCUCUUUCUGUUCCAGAAGGCAUUGGGUAUUUCCGCACAAACUUGGCUUUCGAACAUCUUUUGGAUUUCAGCAAUUUUUUCUUUUAUCUUUUUAUUUUGCAGCUGCUCUUCUAUUUUCUUAUGCUGCAUUUCUUCUUUCAAAUGGCAUAGAUAGUUUUCCUUCCUUUUUAUUUUUUCUUGGAUUUCAUUAAUAUACUUAUGCUUUUGGUUGAGAAAACCUAAAGAUUAUAGGUUGACCUUCUACCUCGGUUCUAAUUCCUUCUUCAGAGACAGAAAAAAGGUAAAGCAUAUUAAUGAAUGGUGUUCCUAAUAUAAGAGACGGGUUUAAACCUUUCAUCAGAACAAAAGGAGUUACAAAACAAAUACCCUGAUUGAGCACAGCAGCGUUAGAUAAUUUAAAUUGAAUUCCCAUUUUUUGGCUAUUAACGGCUGUAUGUAGAACCUGGGUAGUCUUCUUGAAAUACCUAGUGGGUACCACUUCCUCAUUUAUACAGUUAAGAUCGGCCUCUGUAUCUAUUAGCCCUUCAAUUGUAUAUUUAUAGGUUCUAUCAACCACAACAGUUAUCAUCGCAUACCAUUUCUGAGCUAUCACUCUAUCUAUGCUAGUGAUGAUUUUCAUGGUACAAACCUGUUCUUCUUGUAGGGAUUCAUUCACAGGUUCUAUUUUCUCUUGAAAUUCUUUCGUUAGAUUUUCAAAUUCUAAUUGCUCCGAUUUUUCCUCUGUAUCUUUUUCCGAAAAUGGGCUAUAGAGUUCUAGAAUUCUAACCCUAUUUUUUAACUCUCUAAGUUCUUCUUUCACAUCAUGAACUUCGCACUGAAGAUCAUUGAGAGUAGGUUCUUUCUUGUGAAUUAUUCAUCCUGUUCACUAUAGUUUUCAACUGGUUGUCUCACAUUAGUUGUAGCUGUCACUUGGUCCUACUUUAGCUAGUGAGAUAUAACUUUCUAACACCUCUCCCUUUUUCUCUGGAUCCUCUAUUUUGUCAAUUAAGUCUAUUACCAGACUCUCUUCUUUAGUUAAAACACAUAUUUUGAGAUCAUUGAAUUGACAGGUGCACUCAGUUUCACUAUCUGAACUAGUGUCAGUAUCAUAUUCAAAUAAUUCUUCAUUUUUGAGUUGAGCUAGUUCGUUAUCAUUAUCUUGCUCAGAAUCAGAGGAAUUAAGCAUUAUUUGGCAAAGUUGUUGCUUGAGUUCUUUGCUAAUGCUUAAGUUACUGAUUUUAUCUUUCAUUUUACAUUCGGAUUUAUAGUGUCCGACUUUUUCACAUUUGUAGCAUGUUGGGACCGCACCUUUCUUUCCUUUACUAGCCUUCUUACUAGUUUUUCCUGCGUAUUUCCUUUUUUUAAAGGUCCUAUACGGUUUCUUAGGCUCAGACUUAGACUCGUAUUUCUCAUAUUUCUUAGUCCUACGCCCCCCAAAUUUCUUUCCCUUUUUAUGUGGUUUAUGUGAAUAUGAUUUUACUGGUUCAAAACUAAAUUGUUCACAAAAGUCUCCUAAUUCUUUUCUUCCCAAGGUUUUCUGCUUAUCAAGCUGUUUCUUUAGUUUCAUGUCUGUGCAUUUGGGCUAAGUGCCACCAUCCUUUCAAUUGACCAACAAAACUCGCGAUAAUAGCUUCAGCCACCCUUCUAUCUCCAUUUCCUUUUUAUCUUAGAGGCUGUAGCGUACAUCAUCAUAUGUUUCAUUGUAUUAAUGAUCUGAUAUUCUGUCAGACCAUCAAUAUUCCAUUCAACUAUGGAGCUUCCGUCAUAUUGAGCGGAAUUCCACAUUCCAUCUUCCUCAAAUUGUAAAUCUACUGGUGCAGGUCUAGGGUAGUAGUUUUUAGUUUUAGCAGUUUGAGUAAAUCUAUUUUCAGUCAUUAACCUAUUUAUUUCAGGUUGUUCUUGUUUAAACAUUGUUUCAAGGUUAUCUAUUUCCUCCUCAGUGAGAACCGACACUUGAUGACCUUUUCUUUUAUCUGACAAAUUUAACCCUGAUAAUUUUUUGGCCAAGGCGUCAACAAAGUUUUCGUCUUCAGACAAAGUCCUUCCCAUCUUAAAGUUUUUUAUUAUCUAAGGCAGGAGGUGGUUUAAAGAAUGCUUGACUCACUUCCUUAUUUCUUUUAGUUUCUGAGGGUCCUGGUUCUGAUUUCUGUUCCUUCAUUGAAACAGAUGUUUCAAUCCUGGUAACUUGCUUUCCUAAAGAUUGCAAAAAUAGGUUGGUGUAGUUAUUCUGCUGAAUGACCGCACCUAUAUCUUCUUUACUGGCUGUGCAAAAAUUAUUGGCACUAUCUUCAAGGAAAGUAGUUUCUUUGUAGGGAGCUGCAAUUACGUCCUUUUGUUUUAUCACCAUCUCGGGUGGAUGUCUGGCUUUGACUAACUGUCCAUCUUUGGAAGUAUAAGUCAAAAAUGGGCUUCCUAUCAUUUCUAUAUUAUUCAUGUAUUCAUGAAUGUUAUAUUUUUUAGCACACCAAUCUAACCAAGCAAAGAAAAAAUAGUUGAAUUUCUUUUCUUUCAUGAAAGUGGUGUGGGCUUUCCAGAGAUGGUCUUGCCUAUCCUUCCUAAAGGUUGUUUCAAACCAAAUUCUUUUAUCAACAUUUUCAAUACUCAGAUAAUCUCUUUUAAUCUUUUUGUGUUCGAUUUCAAAAGAUUUUAUCAUAUUUAUUUCAAAUUCAACAUCUAAAAAUGUUGGUUCAGGUUGAGGCGGAUUCCUUCUAAAACUUAGGUCUGGAAUGGUUUGUUCGAACCUAUAGGCUGGGCUCUGUAUUUGUUCUUGAGUUCUCCUAAGUCCUGCUAGAACCAUUCUUUCAUGUUCUAGAUCAUAGGCUCUAUCAGGGGAGGUGCUUGAUCUAUGUGGUUCUAGGUUAGAUCUAGAGGGUGCCAAAUCAAUCCUAGUUCUUCUAGCACUGGAGAAUUGUAUAUUUCUACCUCUCCAUCAGCGAAUUGCAAGAUCCGUGUAGGCUCCUGAUUUUCAAGGGGCUUUUUUGGGGCUACUUCAUCCAAAAUCCAUUUUUCUGGUAGAGUUAUAUCACUCCAUUUUAUCAUUUUUGGGACUGCCACGUUUGACUUUUCAAGGUUGGUUUGGAACAAGGUAGUUUCACCUUUACUGUCUAAGUCUUUAGCUUUGGGACAGACAAUGUUCAUAACCUUAUAUGAAACCCUAUAAAUGAUUGCUAGAUUUUGGGAUCUUGGGUCCAUAUCAUAAUCCUGAGUUUGAAUAUUCAACGUUAAGGCUUUUAAGACAUUUAUAUCAGAAAGUGCAACAGAAAAGUUUGGAAAACAGUUAAAAUAUAUCGGGCCUUCCCCUAAGGUUGACCCGACUAUUCCUAACAAAGAAUCCGUGAACUUUCUAAGUCUUCCAUCUCUUACACAUAGCAAGAUUGAAUUGGGCAAUCCUGUUCUGGUAAGUGGUUUCACCGCUAUCUGCACCAAGCCUAUGUGCAAAUAGUUAUAUUUUUUAUCCAGAUGCUGGUUGAUUUGACGCUGAGUAAAUAGCUGGAAACUAUCAUUUUUAUCAAUGACAGAUAUAGUUUUUUCAACAGUUUUUAUUGCAUAAUCAGAUCUAAAAUUGAAAGAUCCUUUAUAGUAGAUAUCAGUGAUGGGUACUCUGGGUAUAUCCCAGUUGCAUAACUCCUUUUCUACUUCUCGCAUGGAUAUUUCUUGAGAGUUUUUCACCCUUAGGGUUUUAUGGCUAGAACUGCUACUAACACCUGCAUCUCCAGAAGAACGAGUAGACAAGAUUCUCCUAAGGCUUGCAAUUUUAAUAGUCUGGGUUUUAUGCUUUCCUUAUGUUCUCCUCCUAAUUCAAGGUUGCUAGUCCCUGCCUAGGUCACUUCAACGCCUUACACCUUUCUAGCAAUGGCCAACGAGCCUAUCCGACAGCUAGACAACUCGAUGACUAGUGAGUAAAGGAAACUUGACAGAAAACCUUCAAACUAACAACUCUUCUAGGGACUUUAGGCUUUGAUACCAGGUACUGGCUGGGCCUCUUAAGAGCAAAUUUUUAAUCAAUUUUUUGCUUUAGUUUAUGCGCGGAAGGUAGUGUAGAGAUGUAGAGAAUAAACAGAAUAAUUAUCAAAAAUUUAAACAUACAAAGCCAAAAGCAGGGAUAAGAAUAUAACGAAAUUAAAAACGAUAUUAACGAUAACAUUAAUAUUUAGCAAACUUACAUAAAAGUAGAAGGGCAGUAGUGCUUAACAAAAGCUUCGCAGAAGCAGCACUUGGAAUAUAAAAACACUCAAGCACUCAAACACUCAAAAGUACAAAGUUUAUUUCUGGAGGCGAUAAUUUUGCGAUAUAUAUAUCCUCUCAUAUAAGUCCAAAUUAUCUUGAUAUUUACCCAUCGCAUUAUGAUAUUUGUCUUUAAAGAAUUAAUUAACAUACAUAUCACCACGCAGAAAAUUGAUUUAUGUCUUCAAGAUGUCUAUAGAGCAUUAUUAAACUAACCCGAAAAUAAAUCUAUAUUUUUAUUCUUAGUGCAAUGUGGAAAUAUCUUUAAAGAAUAGAAUAUUUCACCAAUAUAGCAGAGCGGCUAUACCCAACAAAUAGAAAAUUCAAUACUCUAACCGAGCGGCUAUACUCUAUAAAUAGAAAAUUUUUAAAUGUACAACUGCAUGGCUAUACGCUUUAAAUAGAAAUUUCAAAAUUAUAGCCGCCCGGCUAUACUAGUUAGAAAUUUUCCAACAGUAUAGUCGCACGGAUAUACAAAAUUGCUUUUCUCAUCCAACGAAGUAGUUUUUCAUUCUUAUUUUUUUCGUAAUGGGGCGGGUCAGGGAACUAAUUCUGCAAUGAAGGCUGGUAUGGGCCAAUGGCGGAUUGAAGACCGGCAUAUUCUGAAUAUGGGCACCAAUAUACCGGUCGACUAGUUCUCCAAGCCAGUGGCAGUGGUUGCAGUUGAUUUCCCCCAUUAUCACCUAUUGGACAACCUUUGCCUUUUCUGUGUCUUGGUGUUUCACCAUUUUGGCCAACCAUAGUCUCCAGUACCUCGGCCAUACUUAAUUCCAGUCACCUUAAAUGUAACCGAAAAUACUUGCUCGAACUCAUUCAUUUUGGCCCGCCCUAGUUGACUCCCAUUUAUUUGUCUGCUAUUCUAGAUCUAGUCAUUAUCAAUCACCAUAAUAAAGCUCCACUCUUGUAGUUUCAGUUUCACCUGUGCCUUUGAUUAUUUAGAACAAUUUAGACUUUAAUGAUAUGGUCACGGUUACAGCACAAAAGACAAAUACCAAAAGCGGCCCUCGUGAAGAAGGGUAUGGUCAUUGGUCACCCUCAGUUUCACCUGUGCCUUCUCAUCACUUUCAUUCUCGCCUCCUCAUCACUCUCUGUCGUCUGUGGUGCUCAGGAGCACCACCACCACAACGGCAUUAUCAGCCAUGGAGCUCUCUCCGACACCGAAGCCCUCUACAUCAAGCAGCGCCAGCUUCUCUACUACGGGGACGAGUUCGGCGACCGAGGCGACCUAGUCACGGUCGACCACCAUCUCUGGUUUUUGAGAACCAGAGAAUCAGAAAUGCUUACAUGGCUUUACAAGCUUGGAAGCAAGCCAUUCUCUCCGACCCGCUUAAUCUCACGGGUAAUUGGGUCGGAUCUAAUGUCUGCAACUGUAUUCAAUUUAAUCAACUGUAGGAUUCAUUUACAAGGCGAGUGGAAGGAGUCAUCAAUUUUGAAUUAACAAGUUUCUACUUUAACGUAUAACAACUAUGUUCAUAUUUAUUGGCUGGAUAACUUGUUAUAUUCAGCCAAUUACUUGGAUAACGUAUGCACUUAAGGUGCAAGUGCUUUGACAUUUGUGCCACAUAGAAUUACAUUCCUUUUUAAAUAUUUUAUGAUAUAAUUUUUUUUUUAUUUUUAAAAUUUUGAAAUCAUUUUUUGGUCCAAUGUUACCCCUUAUGACUUGAAUUGGGUAAUAGUCAUUUAUGUCAUAUUGCCUACUACCUAUUGCAUAGGUAUAUAUAUAUAUAUAUAUUUUUUUUUUUUCAUAUUUUCGACAAUGUGUCAUAGUAUUUUAUGUACCUUUUUUUAAUAGGUAACAUAUAAUUUUAUUUUGUCUAUUUUUGUAUCUGACUUAUGGGUAGUCUUCUAAUUUAUGUUCCUAACUUAUAGAUAACACGAUUUAUCACUAAAUAUUUUUCGUUGCUAAUAAUAACACUAUUUACUUGUAUGUCAUGUACAUAAUUUAAUAUGGGUGCUUGUCUGAUCGAUUGGUAUAAUAUGUGGGUCUUUACUUUUUAUUAAUUAAAUCGUAUUUUAUCCAUAUAUUAGGAAUAUUAUCAAAGAAAGAAUUUAAAUUUUAAAUUAUGAAAUUCAAUUACAAGGAAAUAAUGCAUUAAAUUUAGAUUUUCAAUGUGGUUUCCUUAUUUGCCUCAAAGGGUAAAAUUGACACAACAAAAAAAAGUAAUAAAUGUCAAAGGACUUACGUCUAAAACCAAAAACGCGAGCACUAAACCCAAUGAUAGCUAAUCGUUUUGGGCCUAGAUCUAAGAAGCCCUUUUAUUUAUUAUCUAACAUCGUUGCAUGCCAUUGAUAGUGUGCCUAUGGAUGAGGAAGAGAAAGUUGUGCUUGACUGAUGAUUGACGGAAACUUUCGCAAGUAAAUCCUCGAUGCUACUGGUUGAAGGCCCUUUGAUGUUAAAGUUAGCUUAAGGGGAUGAGCGCAAGCUAUCGACAAUGCAAGGGCAUAAGUGUCAAGUAGCAAGUCUUACCCUGUAUCUAGGGUAAGGAGUUAUAUAUAUAGGGAAUUCUGGGUUUUUUUGGGUGCUUAGUUUCGAUGUGGGACUCGUGGGAGUGCCUUCCAAGGCUAACACGCGUCCCAGCAAAUAUCCUAGCGAUGAACUCAAGAACAUCCUGCAAGAUGCCUUCUAAGGCGUAGAAUUUGGCAAGGCAUGCCGAACACACUUACCGGUCGUGGGCCGAUCAGUGAACAAUUGGCGAAUGGAGCUAGAAGCGUCUGCCGUUUGUAGGAUUAGACCUACCAGGAUGGGUUACAGGGCCAUGUUGUGCGUAGAAUCGGUCGUGGGUGCCGAAAAGACCUACCGAUUAGUACUACUGGGCUUGCCAGGGCGGGCCAUGGAGCCUUCCUUCACGUGUCAUGGCAUGAGAUGCGGGUCAGGUAUGAUACAAACAAACUUAAAUUAAUUAAACCCAUCAUGCAAUGCAUUCCCUUUCAAUUUUUUGUGAUAAACUCAUAGAUAAUUGACUAAAUAAACAUCAUCCAAAGUUUCAAUAAAAAUUACCAAGUUUUUUUUACAAUUUCCGUAGUUUUUAUUCAAUUUUUAUCGAUAUCGAUAAUAUCCCGAUAUUUCCAUCAAAAUUUCCGUGUUUUUGAACUAUCGAUAUUUUUAAUACCAUCAAUAUUUUAUACCUUGGCUGUAGGCAUUGAUUAUCAAACUAAUUAUCAGGGGACCAGUUGUUGGAUGACACUUGGGCCAGAUUAGAAGUGCAUUAAAUGUUUCCUUUAGUAAUUCUUGGAAACCUGUGCAAGCUAGAUUGCUUAUAGAGGCGAUCUGUGGUGGAUUUUCCAGUUGUUUUUUAUUUUCUUAUGCUUGAUUUAAUCAAGAAGUGUGAAGGAGUUAUUAUCUAACAUCGUUGCAUGCCAUUGACUAUGGAUGAGGAAGAUAAAGUUGUGCUUGACUGAUGAUUGACGGAAACUUUCGCAAGUAAUCCUCUCUAGCAUUGCUCGUGCCGGAAGUGUAAUUGAGGAGCUGUAUGGGUUUGGUGUUGUGUGAUGAGUAUAUUAAGGCGUAUCAAGGGUAUUUUUGGUAGUUAAAUAGGAUGUACUUAGUUAAUUUUAUAUUUUAAUUUAAAUAUUUGGGUGUACUUAGAUCAUAAGGUGUACUCAGUUAAUUUUAGAAUUCGUUUAACCACACUAUAUUAUUAUUAAUAGUUUUCUAUCAAAACAAACCCUUAAGGUCCUUAACUAUUGGCUUGCAGCCACAUAUAAUUACUGUGGUGACCUUCUCGAAUCAUCAAUUUUUAUUCAUUUAAGUUGUUGAUCAACUGCUGCAGGCAAGUUAUUCUCCUGAACUCGAGUCCCAUCAAGAGCGGGUCAAGGGGGUGAGUAAUUGUCUCAAUUCCACACGUAAACAAACAAAGGCUCACAAAACUCUCCAAAAUAUACGCAUUAAUUCUUUGCUUCUUUUCCCUUUAUAAGAAGAAGAAAGCCGUCUAAUUCAUCAUCACCAACACAAGCAAACUCAACAUCAACAAUGUCGACAAAGUCUAGCAUUACCGUCCUUGCCUUUGCCUUUUGUUUCUUGUCCCUCCUCAGUUUCGCUUACUCCAACACCACCGACGACAAAAUCUCUACCUCACCGGCCUGGUCUACUGUGACAACUGCCAAUUGAAGUCUAUGACCGAGAUGAGUAAGAUGAUAAGAUUUGAAUAUGAGAUUUAUGCAUGCAUGCAUGCACAUUGCCCAUUGAUCAGGUGCACAUCUUUUUAUCUUUUACUUUACUAAUUCUUAAUUAAGAUUCAAUUUAGGACCUAUUUAAAGAGAAGAAAAAUACGAUUUAAAAUAUAUCUUAUAACCUAAUAAUCUCCUAAUCAAAAUAUUAAACUUUUAAAAUGUCACAUAUCAAUUUAGCCCUUAAUUAUACUAAGCUUAAAUUCCAUGGUCCAUACUAGUUUGAUUUUUAUUUUUUAUUUUGGUGUGAAAAUUUGGUAUUUUCUUUAAAAUAAUGUGCUUGAUAGCGUGAAAGUAGCAAAUAAAUAAUGAUGUGUUCAAAUUGGAUUUGAACACACAUCACAACCCAUAUCAUCAUUAAGGCCCUAAAAAUUAAAUCAUUAUGUGCUUGGUUAAUACGUUAAGUAGUUUAUGAAGUGAUUAAGAUCAAAGAGGAUCCAUGACUUGUAAUGGAUCACUUGUUCAUUUACUUAAAAAUAAAUAAAUAAAUAAAUAAAAGCAAAGGACCCACUAGUGUAGUGGUUUGGAGUAUUUACUCCCUUAGGUAAGGUCCUGGGUUCGAGUCCUAGCAUCCGUGUUGUGUGUGUGAGUUUAAUAUGCUAUCGCCCCUUUCAAUAGGAAAGGACCUCAAAAAAAAAAAAAAUAAAUAAAUAAAUAAACUCGCAAUACCGACUCCAUUCGUAAUUCCAUCAAUUACGCGACCAAAACUUCGUCGCUCAAAGUCUUGCGCGACGAAAAACAAUUCGUAGCGCAAAGUCACUUCGCGCGACAAACUUUUGCGCGACGACAAUACAUCGUCGCUCAAAGUCUUGCGCGACCAAAUUUUGCUCGACGAAAAAAAUUCGUCGCGCAAAGUCACUUCGCGAGACAAACUUUUGCGCGACAACAAUACAUCGUCGCUCAAAGUGACUUUGCGCGACGAAACAAUGAACUUCGUCGCGCAAAGUCCUUAUAAAAAUAAAAUAUAUAUAUUUUAAAAUCUUUGCAUGACGUAAUCCAAAUAUUUCGUCGCCUAAACUAAUUUAUUUUUGUUUUUUAUUUUGUAUGCAUAACACUUAAGAAAUUAAACAGUAUAUAUAUUUAUUAAGUAGCUUUAAAUUUAUUAUUUUAGAUCAGAUCGGAUUUUUGUUAGAAAAAUAUAUUAUUGUUGUUCAGAUUGGGUUUUUGUUAGAAAAUAUAUAUUUUAAAUUGACGAUCGAAUUAGUUCAUUGUAUUCAUAUAUGGUCAAGGAGUGUAGCUAUAAAAAGCAUCAAAAUUGGAGUUAAAAUAACCGUUAAAUCGUGAUUUUUCAUUAUAACCGUCGAAAAGUUUUGUCCCAUUACUUGAUCUCUGAAUGUUUAUUUUUUCUGAUUUUUGGCGUAUAUGAUCUCGAAGUAUAAACAAACAAGUUUGACGGUUGGAUCGUUGAAACUAGUUUUGGUGAAUGCAUAUGCCAUCAAAACAAUAUAUUCACUAACAGUUAAGAGUUUAUUUAUACGUUCGUUAAAUAUAACAUAAGAUUUUGUGGUAUCCACUAGUGUAAAUAUUUUAAAUUGAAGAUCAAAUUCAGUCGUUGUAUUCACAUAGGGUCAAGGAGUGUAGCUGUAAAAAAUCAUCAAAAUCGGAGUUAAAAUAACCGUUAAAUCGUGAUUUUUCAUUAUAACCGUCGAAAAGUUUUGUCCCAUUACUUGAUCUCUGAAUGUUUAUUUUUUCCGAUUUUUGGCGUAUAUGAUCUCGAAGUAUAAACAAACAAGUUUGACGAUUGGAUCAUUGAAACUAGUUUUGGUGAAUGCAUAUGCCAUCAAAACAAUAUAUUCACUAACAAUUAAGAGGUUAUUUAUACGUUCGUUAGAUAUAACAUAAGAUUUUGUGGUAUCCACUAGUGUAAAUAUUUUAAAUUGAAGAUCAAAUUCAAUCAUUGUAUUCAUAUAUGGUCAAGGAGUGUAGCUGUAAAAAAAAUCAUCAAAAUCGGAGUUAAAAUAACCGUUAAAUCGUAAUUUUUCAUUUAUAACCAUCGAAAAGUUUUGUCUCGUUACUAGAUCUCUGAAUGUUUGUUUUUUGCGAUUUUUGGGGUAUACGAUCUUGAAGUAUAUACAAAUAAGUCUGACGGUUGGAUCGUUGAAUGGUGUGUGUAUAUAUAUUUAUUUAUUAAGUAGCUUUAAAUUUAUUUAUUUUGUACGUAUAACACUUAAGAAAUUGAAUAGUAUAUAUAUUUAUUAAGCAGCUUUAACCUUAUUUAUAUUUUAAAUUGUAAAAUAAAAUAAUUUUAUUUUUAUUAUUCCUAACAAUUAUUUUUAUAAAUAUUGUGUUACGAACCAAUUUUUCGUCUCUCAAAAGUUUGCGCAACCAACAGUUUGUCGCGCAAAACUCUAAAAAUUUGGACGGGUACCAAAAAUGGGACGCGGGAUUUUUAAAAAAAAUAAAAAAAAUUUAGACUUUGUGCGACCAAUAUUUUUUGUCGCUCAAAACUUUGCGCGACCAAUAUAUAUUUUUCGUCUCUCAAAAAUUUGGGCAGGUACCAAAAAUGGGAAGCGGGAAUUUUUUUAGACUUUGCGCGACUAGUAUGUAUUUUUCGUCGUGCAAAAAUUUAAAAAUUUUGGCAGGUACCAAAAAUGGGACGCGGGGAUUUUUAUUUUUUUAAAUAAUUUUUUUAGACUUUGCGCGACCAAUAUUCCUAUAUUCGUCGCGCAAAAAUUUAAAAAUUUUGGCGGGUACCGAAAAUGGGACGCGGGGAUUUUUAUUUUUUUAAAUAAUUUUUUUAGACUUUGCGCGACCAAUAUUCCUAUAUUCGUCGCGCAAAAAUUUAAAAAUUUUGGCGGGUACCGAAAAUGGGACGCGGGGAUUUUUAUUUUUUUAAAUAAUUUUUUUAGACUUUGCGCGACCAAUAUUCCUAUAUUCGUCGCGCAAAAAAUUAAAAAUUUUGGCUGGUACCAAAAAUGGGACGCGGGGAUUUUUAUUUUUUUAAAUAAUUUUUUUAGACUUUGCGCGACCAAUAUUCCUAUAUUCGUCGCGCAAAAAUUUAAAAAUUUUGGCGGGUACCAAAAAUGGGACGCGGGGAUUUUUAUUUUUUUAAAAUAUUUUUUUUAGACUUUGCGCGACCAAUAUUCCUAUAUUCGUCGCGCAAAAAUUUAAAAAUUUUGGGGGGUACCAAAAAUGGGACGCGGGGAUUUUUAUUUUUUUAAAAUAAUUUUUUUAGACUUUGCGCGACCAAUAUUCCUAUAUUCGUCGCGCAAAAAUUUAAAAAUUUUGGCGGGUACCAAAAAUGGGACGCGGGGAUUUUUAUUUUUUUUAAAUAAUUUUUUUAGACUUUGCGCGACCAAUAUUCUUAUAUUCGUCGCGCAAAACUUUGCGCGACCAAUAUGUUUCGUCGGGCAAAAGUUUGCGCGAUCAAUAUUCCAAUAUUUUUCGUCGCACAAACCUUUGCGCGACCAACAAUAUUUUUCGUCGCGCAAAGUGAUACGGUUUUUAAAACCGAAAUAACUCAUCCACCAUUUUCUCAAUGCCUUUCUCUACUCUUACCUCUCCUUUCUCUUUCCCUCUCCCCAAAUCCCACCAUUUCUCUCACUUACUCCUCUCACUUAAUCUCUCAUCUCUCUCUCACUCACUCUCUCAUCUCUCUCACUCACUCUCUCAUCUCUCUAUCACUAUCUUCUCUAAUUCUCUCACACUCACUUCUCCCUCUCAUUCUCAUUCACUCUCAAUCUUGCCAAAAGGUAUAUUCUCUCCAAAUUUUAAAUUUUUUUCAUUAAUAUGUGUUUUUGGAGUUAAUUUUGAGUUUGUGUGGGUUUUAGGGUUGAGUAAAGGGGAGGGAUUGGAGUUUGGGUUGGAUUUGUGGUAUAACAAUUUUAGGGGAGAUUAUGCCUUCUUUUUUUUUUUUUUUGUGGUUAUUUGACCAUAUUUAUUUUUUUUGUAGGGAAUCAUCGAGACUUUGACGGCUAAAGUUGAGGAUUAGGAAGCUAUCAAAACAUCUCCUCUGCCACUACCACCACAAUACGCUUGUAUUAGGGUUUUAUUAUUGUACUUUGUUAAUUUAUGUGAACAUUUUGAAUAUUAUAUAUAUAUAUAUAUUUAUUGGAUAAUUUAAUCACUAUUUUUCAUAUGUAAUUUUAUUUUGAAUAUGUCAAUUUAAAUUAAAGUAAUUAAAAAAAUCAUACAAUUAAAUUAAAUUUAAAAAGUAAAAAUUAAUAUCAAUUUAAAUUAAAGUAAUUUUAAAAAGAAAUCAUACAAUUAAAUUAAAUUUAAAACGUAAAAAUUUGAAAAAAUUCAUAUAAAUAAAUUCAUAUUAAAGAAAUAAUAAAACAAAAAGUCAAAAAUCUUGCGCGACAAAAUAUUUCGUAGCGCAAACUAUUAAAUUAGUUUAUUUUAAAUUAAAAACAUUUAAAACAAAAAAUAUUUCGUCGCGCAAAACUCAAAAAAUUUGGGCAGGUACCAAAAAUUGGACGUGGGAAUUUUUUAGUUUUUUAAAAUUUUUUUUAGACUUUGCGCGACCAAUGUUUUUCGUCGCGCAAAACUUUGAGCGACCAAUAUAUUUCGUCGCGCAAAUCUUUGCGCGACUAAUGUAUUUCGUCGUGCACAACUUUGCGCUACCAAUAUUUUUCGUCGUGCAAAGUCACUUUGCGCGACCAAUCUUUUUCGUCGCGCAAAGUCGCUUUGUGCGACCAAUAUUUUUUCGUCGCGCAAAGUCACUUUGCGUGACCAAUGAAAAAAUUCGUCGCGCAAAGUCUUUCUUCACGAUCUUUGCGCGACGGAUUCUGCGCGACGAAGUUUCUGUCUCGCUGAAAUUUGUGCGACUACAAUGUAUUUUGCGCGACGAAAUUCUCUUCGUCGCGCAAAGUGUAAAAUGUAGUAGUGGUACCAGUUGUGCUUAUUUACUUUUUACCAUGGCUCUCACAAAUCAAGAGACCUCUGCUUAGCUUUUCUUUUUAUUUUGGCCAUUUGCUCCUCUCAAGCAUCAUCUCACUAAAUUUAUGAUGAGACUGGAUGGCUCAAUUUGGGCCAGUUUUUUUUAUAAGGAUGCUGAGGAGAAGGAGAGGCGAUUCAUGAUAGUCAAGGCCAACUUGGAGUUCAUUAAGGCUUUUAACAAACACAUGAGCCAGAACUACUUCACACUAAGCUUAAAUGAAUUUGCAGACCUAACCAAUGAGGAGUUUCGGGAAAUUCGUAAUGGUUACACGAAACGAUCCUCCAAAUCGAUCAUGUCCAAUUCCACGAAAGCUACAUGUUUUAGAUAUUGAAAUGUCACUGAUGUGCCACCUUCAGUGGAUUGGAGAGAAAAGGGUGCAGUGACACCUAUCAAGGACCCAGGCAAAUGUGGUAAGUAUUAAACAAGUUGUUAAAUGAUGACGCAUUCACUGUUUCACAACCUAACAUGUUAUUGAAUGAUGAGGCAUGUUAUUUCAAUUUUAUAGGGUGUUGUUGGGCAUUCUCAGCAGUGGCAGCUACAAAAGGGGUUAACAUGCAAGCUCAAAGCCAGAAACUUAAUCUCACUAUCAGAGCAAGAGCUUGUGGAUUAUGACACUACAGGUCAAGAUCAUGGCUGUGAAGGUGGUCUAAUGGAUGACGCUUUUCAAUUCAUCCACGCAACAAAGGCUGACAACUGAAGCUAAUCACUUCUACCAGGGUUACAACACUCAGAAGGCUGCAUCCCAAACAGUGUCCAUAAAUGGGUACGAGGAUGUGCCUAAAAACAACCAAAAUGCUAUGUUGCAAGCCGUCGCUAACCAACCAAUUUCUUUUGGAAUUCAGACUAUGAUCUGAAUUAUAACUUGCCUUCUACAAAUACUACUGAAUGAGUAAAGGUUUCAGAGAGAUUUUCAGAAUGAGAGAGAGCUCGAGGAAAGAGCAAAAAGAUGAAUUCUAUUCUUCUUCUCACGCACACACUGUGCACUAAUAACAGUUGGAACAGGAAAUUCCCAAAUUACAUCAUUCAAAUCUAGCCAUCCAUUCUUCUAUUCUAAGAUUACAUCUUAGCUGUCCACUUGGAUUGUAAUCCAAGGGCUCACAUUUAAAUCUGUAAAUUUGAACUAAAUACAACAUCAUAUCAGCAAAAACAGUUAUAUUUCAACACUCCCUUCUAAGUGUUUAGCUGAGAUUACUCCAAGCUUUCUUCUCAGGUAUUCAAACCAAUCUCUUGCUAGAGCCUUAAUAAAGAUGUCUGCAGUCUGCUCUUCAAUUUUGCAACAUAGUAAAUCAAUCUCUCCAUUUUGCAAAGCAUCUCGGAUGAAGUGAAACCUCCUGUUUAUAUGCCUUGUCUUAUGAUGAUGCACAUGAUUCUUGGUUAUGGCAAUAGCAGAGGUAUUAUCACAUAGAAUUGUAGUAGCACCCACAUGUUCUUCACCAAUGUCUGAGAGAAUGAAGCGCAACCAGAUUGCUUGUGCAGUAGCUUCUGCUGCACUAACAUACUCUACUUCUACUGUAGACAGAGCUACACUACUUUGCUUGACUGAAGCCUAGGAAAACAUACCUGAUCCAAGAUUAAAUGCAAAUCCAGAGGUGCUUCUCAUGUCAUCCUCGCUCCCCGACCAAUCACUGUCACAGUAGCCAAUGAGCCUUGCUUCUUUGCCUUUCUCAUAUGCUAUGCCACAAUCAAAUGUGCCUUGAAUGUACCUCAAUACCCUUUUGGCAGUUCCCAUAUGUUUUCUAGUAGGUCCAUGCAUAAAUCUAGCCAAAAGACUUGCUGCAACCAUGAUGUCUGGCCUUGUUGCAGUCAAGUACAACAGAUUUCCAACUAUCUGCCUAUAAACCCCUUCAUCAGCUUGUUCACUUCCAUCUUCCUUGGAUAGCUUUUCAUUCAUUGCAAGAGGAGUAGCCACUGCUUUAUAGUCCUUGAAGCCAAAUUUGUCUAGCAAUGUCUUAGCAUAUUUCUUCUGGUGCAAGAAAAUGUAAGACUCAGUUUGUAUCACUCCUAACCCCAAGAAAUGGUGAAGCAAACCAAGAUCAGUCAUUUCAUACUGCAUCACCAUUUCAGUUUUGAACUCCAUGAUCAAGGCUUUUGAGCUUCCAGUGUAGAUAAUAUCAUCUACAUAUAAAGAAACAAUAAUAAUACUACUUUCUGCAGCCUUUACAUAUACUGUUGCCUCACUAGGACUUCUCUGGAAACUUGCCUUGAUGAAGUAAGAAUUGAUUUCUUCAUACCAAGCUCUUGGAGCUUGUUUAAGUCCAUAUAAUGCCUUCUUGAGUCUAUACACUCUAUCCUCUUUGUUCUUAAUCAUAAAACCAGGAGGUUGAUCCACAUACACCUCUUCAUGCAAUACUCCAUUCAAGAAUGCAGACUUCACAUCUAACUGAAAUAGUUUCCACCCCUUUUGUGCAGGCAAUGCCACCAAUGUUCUAAUGGUAUCCAGCCUAGCAACAGGUGCAAAUGUUUCAUUGAAAUCUAUCCCUGGCUUUUGAGAAUAGCCCUUUGCCACUAGCUGAGCCUUGUCUUUUUGAACUGUACCAUCUAAAUUCAGCUUGGUUUUAUAAAUCCAUUUGACACCAAUUACUGGUUUAUCAGUUAGUCUAUCAACCAACUCCCAAGUUUUGUUCUUCUCUAUAAUUUCUAUCUCAUUCUCCAUUGCUUUCUGCCAUGCUUCAUCCUUAACAGCCUCUUCAAAGGUCUCAGGCUUGAUAAUACACAAGUUACAUCUUGCAUACACUUCUGCAAUACUCUUGUAUUUCAGAGGUGUGUGAUCAACAUCCAGUGAUCCUGAGUCAGGAUCAACAUGCCCCUCUUCUGAAAUCUCUUCUUGACUCAGGCUAGAAUCAUUAGAUUCCUCUUCUCUCUCAGUGAGUGUCUCAUUAAGAGGUAUUGAGAUAUCACAUUCCUUUUGUGCAUUUCAAUCCCAAAUAGAUGCCUCAUUGAAUAUCACAUCCCUGGAAAUAAUCAUUUUUUUCAGAUGCAAUGUUAUAUAGUCUGAAGCCUUUUCACAGUUGCCAUACCCUUCUGCCUUUGUUGAUUUGGAACAUGUGCAUAGCACAAAGAACCAAACACUCUUAAAUGCUUAACUCCUAGCUUUCUACCACUAUAAGCUUCAAAUGGAGUUUUCUUGUCUAAGGCCUUAGUUGGACAUCUAUUCUGGACAUACACUGCAGUGUUUACUGCCUUAGCCCAAAAUUCUAGAGGCAUCUUCUUCUCAAUCAUCAUGCAUUUAGCCAUCUCCAUAAUUGUUCUGUUCUUUUGUUCUGCUAUUCCGUUUUGCUAUGGUGAAUAUGUCACAGUUAGCUGCCUUUCCAUUCCCAUGUCUUCACAAAAUUUGUUGAAUUCAUUGGAAGUAUAUUCGCCCCCCUGUCACAUCUUAUUUUCUUCAAUUUAUAUCCACUUUGCAGCUCAACAGUGGCUUUAAAUUUCUUAAAGACAUUAAGGACUUUUGAUUUGUAUCUCAAGAAAUAGAUCCAACACAUACGAGUACAAUCGUCUAUGAAGGUAAGAAAAUAUCUAUUUCCAGCUUUGGUAAUAGUCUGCAUUGGUCCACAUACAUUUGUGUGUACCAACUCGAGUGGGAUUCUGGCAAUCCAAGUACCAUUCCCUGAUCUUGCAGCAGCUUCAAACUGGUGAAGUUUAAAUGCCCCAUUCUUCUAUGCCAAACUAAAGUUGAUGACUCUACAUUUGCUCUUAAUGCAACCUGUAAAGUUGUGUGAAGCUUCAAAGGAAAACUUAUGUCGCCUUUCAGUUGCACCUUAGCAACUAGAUUUGAUAAAGAACAAUCAUCAUAAAUUUCAACCUUAUUAGCUCCAAAAAUCAGAACAUAUCCAUGCUUCAUCAUUUGCCCUACACUGAGCAAAUUCUUCUUGAGACCAGCAACUAACAGCACUCCUUUGACAUACCUUCUUCCCAUCUUAGUGUCAACAACAAGAUUUAAUUUCCUUUUCCAACAACAUUAACCAAUUGUCCUGUCCCCAUUGCAACUUUUGCAAUUAUAUUCCUAUCAACAUCAACUAAUACAUCUUCUCUCCCAGUCAUAUGGUUGCUAGAUCCGCUAUCCAAAUACCAUAUUGUUCACCCGUUUUGUGUUUGUUCCUGUGAUGGUAGGGCAAAAUUCCCCAUUGCCUUGAAAAUCAUUGACUGGUCAACAAGUCAACUUUCUUUAGUGUGCGAGCGUGCCACUACUAGCAAUGAGAAAUCCUAGAAGACUUUAAAAAUAGAUAACUUGCACCCCAAGUUACUGAUUUCUAAUCAAACAGUUGUGAAUUUGGGUGAGGAAUAUCUCCCAAGUAAGUUCUUUUCUUGCCUCAGACUGGUGAGUACUUCAUAAUUUUUCACAGUAUAAAACUGGUAGUUCUGGCCAGAAUAAAUGAUGAGAAAAUGAACUGUUUUGAGGUAGAAUUGCCUUUUACAAAACUCAAAAGGGAAAAGCCAACUCUAGAAAGACAAAAAGAAGGCUGGACUUCCAUUUCUGCAUGGAUAGAUGCUUCUGAUCCAGGCUGGACUAGACUAUCAGCAACUUCAACUGUCAAGUUUCAGCUGUAAAUCGAUACCAACGUUCGAGUUUGGCAGAGCUUUAAUCUAUUUCAAGCCCUGGAAGGCUUUUUGAACGGACAGAAUUACGGCCUAUUCAGUCUGAAGGGUGCAGAAGUGGCUGGACUCAAGGAUUAUUGAGCUGGAACUGCAUUGUGAUACUUGUUCUACUUGAUCAGGGUUCUCCAUAAAUUUGUUGAGGUUUUCAUUUUUGUGAAAACCCAAGCUCUGCUUGUUUUGGCUUUUGCUGAACCAAAUUUGUAACAAGAGAAAUCUCAUUUUAAAUGACUUUUCUCUAAGUCUGAAAUUGAUUUGUAGUUGGCUUCUUUCUUCUUGAAAUUGAUUUGUAGUUGGCUUCUUUCUUCUGGCUCAAUGAGCUUUUGGUUGCUUCAGUUUGUUUGAAGGUUCUUUGAGAUCAAGUGAUCAUUUUGAGUUUUUGUCUUUUGACUGAUUUUUUGGUUGUUUGAUUGAUUGUCUGAUCUUUUGCUCUGUUCACCCUCUCCUAUAUUUAUAAGAGAUGCUUUGUAGUGGUGCUUCUAAUUCUUUUAAUAAUGGGCGGAAAAAUUUCUCAAAAGAUCUUUCAUUUUUAAAUGCAAAGAAAAAGGGUUUUUAUCAAUUCUGGCAGAUAAGCUUUCUAUAGUCAGUUCCUAAGGCAGUCACUUCCCUGUAUUUCUUGAAAAAGAAACCUAACCCUUCUUCCAAUUUAACUGCUCUUUGUAAGAGUUCAAACUGUGAUGGUUUAGUUUUGAUCUUCCAGAUGAACAACUCCCUGCUUCCCACUUAUCUUUUUAGAAAAUAUGGCCUGCUUAUCCCUUGGAAAUGAUAUCUAACGAAUUUUUUUGGAUAUAGAAAAGGAUUCUGAUCUUUUAGCCCCAAAGUUUCAGGGAAGUCUCUCUGCUAAUGACCUGCUUUCAUUAAUUACCAAUCUACUCUCUUGUGACAGUUGAAAUUGUUGACUUUUUAAAGUCAGGUAUUCACGUGGGCUCUGAGAAUAGACUUUCCAAAAAUCAGCUGAUCUUAUACUCCGUGUUUUGAGAUAAAUGGUGAGUACUUAGAUGCUGGGCCCAAUCCAAUUCUUUUUUAUCUACUUUAGUGGUCAAUUGCCACUUAAUUUGGCCUUCUUUUUUUUUUUUUACAACUUUGCCAUUUCGUAAAAGACGUGGGCCUUUCUUCUUUUUUAAUUAUGCCAAGCCCAGUUUGAGUUGAGCUAUGGGCUGAUUUCUUUCUUUUCUUCCUUUUCGAAGCCCAAGUUUAUUGUCGUGGUUUCGAUAGAUCACGGGCUGGGCUUUUUUGAAUUUUGGGCCCUCGAUUCCUGUUUAUUUUGCAAAGCCCAGACUGCUUGGGCCCUGUGGCUUUAUUCUGGGCUCUAUAGUGUUGGGCUAGGUGCACAGGAUUUUGGCCCCAACACAUACAUCAUCACAUCCUUUUACACUAGCAGAACCUUUAUUACUAGCAUAAAACAUGGUUGGUGUGGAUUCGGUCUGAGUAGCAUAGUUGAGCUGUUGUGCUGGUUUCUUGCUAUAGCAAUCUUUUGCAAUAUGACCAAAUUUGUCACAGUUGUAACAUUUUGGUUUUCCCUUAAACCGAAAAUCACCAAAAUGUAGUUCGCCACAAUGUUUGCAGGGGUUUCUGGCUCCAUCAGUUGAUAUAUUAUCCCACUUUUUGCCUUUUGUCCUCCAAUUCCUUUGAUCCCUAAAACCACUUUGACUUCCACUGUAAUUUUUUGAUUGGGAUUCACACAAAGACUAGCAAAUGCUUUCUCAGUCUUAUCUCCAAAGUGCCUAUCUAGCCAUAAUUCAAAACUCUUCAAAGAGGUUACCACUUCUUGUACCUCAAUUUCAUCCAAAUCCUUAGAAUGCUCAAUAACAGAACAGAUUGAAUCAUAAGCUGAUGGCAAACUGAUUAGUAAUUUUUGAACAAUCCUUGCUCUAGCUAAAUCCUUUCCAUAGCUCCUCAUUUGGUUUAUCAGAUCAAACGGUUUGGUAAGAUAAGCAGAAAGGGACUCAUCAUCUCUGAUUCUUGUAUAUUCAAAUUCUCUACAUAGACCUUGCAAUUUAACACUUCUAACCUGUUUAUCACCAUGGAAUUCCUUCAUCAAGAUAUCCCAAGCUCCCUCAAAGGUUUCUUCAUGAGAGAAUCGAGGGAAGAUCUCAUCAGACGCUGCUCCUUGAAUAAGACCCAGAGCUUUAGCAUUCUUCAUGAGUAGCUCAGUGAGAGUCAUCUUCCAAGCACCACUCGAUUCUUCCUUUUCUUUCUUCUUUGCAUCAGAUUCUCCAGCUCCCUUCGAAUUUGAGCACUCUAUUCCCUUCUCAACCAAUUCCCAAAGCCCAUGAGAUUUGAAAAUGGUUUUCAUUCUUAUGCUCCAAUUUUCGUAGUUAUCACCGCCAAAGAUCGGCACUCUCAGCUCACCACCUCCAUACCCUGCCAUGUUAGACACAAAUCGCGAAACCACUUUUCCAAAUUUCAGCUAGUUUUCUUCACAGAUUUAAUCGCCCAAAGUUAAACAAUAGAACCUGGCUCUGAGGCCAUGUUAGAAUUCAAACUAUGAUCUGAAUUAUAACUUGCAUUCUACAAAUGCUACUGAAUGAGUAAAGGUUUCAGAGAGAUUUUUAGAAUGAGAGAGAGCUUGAGGAAGGAGCAAAAAGAUGAAUUCUAUUCUUCUUCUCUCGCACACACUCUGCACUAAUAACAGCUGGAACAGGAAAUUCCCAAAUUAUAUCAUCCAAAUCUAGCCAUCCAUUCUUCUAUUCUAAGAUUACAUCUUAGCUGUCCACUUGGACUGUAAUCCAAGCGCUCACAUUUAAAUCUGUAAAUUUAAACUAAAUACAACAUCAUAUCAGCUAAAACACUUAUAUUUCAACAUUUCGGUUGCCAUUGACGCAAGUGGCUGUACAUUCCAGUUUUAUUCAAGUGGUGUGUUCACUGUGGUAUAAACUUAGAUCAUGGUGUUACCGCAGUUGGAUACGGGACUAGGACUAGUAGUGAUGGGACUAAAUACUGGCUGGUGAAGAAUUUUUAGGGCACAUGGUUGGGGGAGGAUGGAUAUGUGACGAUGCAAAGGGGCAUUCCUGCCAAGGAAGGACUCUGUGGCAUUGCUAUGGAAGCUUCUUAUCCAACCGCAUGAUUAAUUAAAAUGCAUAUAUGUCAUAAUAUAGUGUGGUGUAUAAAAUAUGUAUAAUUGAAUAAUAUAGAAAGACGCUAGCUAUGAGCUGCUAUCCUUCCACUUUGAAAUCCAUGCCUCAAAACAUAGAAACAAUUAACCCAUGACGUGGAUUUGCUCUUAAAAUCUCACUCAAUGAAUUAGCAGCUAUAGCUAUGAGGUUGACAUGUUUUCAUUACCAUUGCAAGGUUAAAUCAAGUUAGAUUAAGGGUGCAUAUUUUUGCUCACCAUCAUUCUUAAUAUUUGACAUGUGUCUAUGGGUAUAACCAUAUAGUUCUAUAAAUAUAUAACUAUGAUUAUGUCAAUGAACACGUGUCAAGUGUUAAAAUGGGUAGUGAGAGUACACAUUUGGUUAAAGUGGUGAGUAAAUAUAUUCCCUUAGAGUAAUCACAUGAUCAUGUCACUGAUCCUACAAGGUAAAACUGUGAAACGACGUCAUUACACUUGUUCGGAGGUGGCAUGGAUUGGAAACACGUAAUUAACCAUAUAUAUAACAUCAAUUUACAACUUAAUUAUACUUAUUCUUAAAGCCAUUUCUGAUCGGACAUUUUUGGAGAAAUUAAUUUCUCAGGCAAGUAAAUGGCAGCAGAAGAGGACCGGAAAAUUUAGGUGCCAGUAGAAGAGAAAAACUCUCUCGCACGUACCUGGUUUAUGGAAGUUUGCUGUAACAGGAGAGCUAGAUAAAACUUAAUUUGAAAAAUUCUAGGAUACGUAACUAGAGCUUACAAGGUGGUGUUGUUGACUGGCUACAACUUCAAAUACAAACCGUUGAGCUAGCUUGCUGUGCGCAGUAUAUAAAGAUUAUUUAGGACUAGCUAGGCUCAUAAUUAAUAUAUACAUAUAUAUAUAAUUACUUUAUAUUUUUAAAGAGGGGGAAGUACAAUAUUAUGAUGAAGAGAUGAGUCUUUUUGCCAAUUAAAAUGCACCAUUUAUAUAUUCUGUAUCCAGAUUACCUUUUGCAUGAUCUUGCCAUGAACAUCCAAAAAUGCACCAAUCUAGUUAAAAUUCAAAACAAAUUUAAAGAUUUUUACAUCGUAGUUAAAGGAAAUUCAUUGUUCCUAUAACUUGUGCUUCCUAUACACACACAAAUUCCAUGAAUCAAUUGACAAUGUGAUAUUAAUAUUACCAUAUAACAUUUUCAACAUUUUCAUCUCGUCCUAGCAUUCAAGUAAAGAAAAGAAUACACGUAUACUUGGAUUGUUGAUGUCUAACUUUGACUCAACGGAUUAAGAUCGUAAAAACGACACAUUCACAUCAUGACACACACUCAAGUCAGGCUACGUCCAUAAUAUACAAUUAGUGAACUGAAUUACAUGAAUCUACAAGUACGGGAUAUAAAAGCUACAAGCCCUACAUGCUACAAUAUCUGUCCUAUUUUUGGGUCAACUGUUCCUUAUUCUCUUUGAUAGUACAAUCGAGUUUACAUGUUAGGAUCCUAACGGGGAUAUUAAAUGCUGAAAAGGAAAUAAUCAAUUCCCAAUAAGCCCUUAAGAUCGUCUAACCAAGAUACAAGCCUCAUAUAUAUCUUAACAAAUCUUUCUAGUUCUUAAAGGUUAUAGCAUCCAUCUCUCUCUCUCUCUCUCUCUCUCUCUCUCUCUCUCUCUCUCUCUCUCUCUCUCUCUCUCUCUCUAUAUAUAUAUAUAUAUAUAUAUCCUCUCAUAUAAGUCCAAAUUAUCAUGAUAUUUGUCUUUAAAGAAUUAAUUAACAUACUUAUCACCGCGCAGAAAAUUAAUUUAUGUCUUCAAGAUGUCUAUAGAGCAUUAUUAAACUAAUCCUAAAAUAAAUAAAUAUUUUUAUUCUUAGUGCAAUGUGGAAAUAUCUUUAAAGAAUAGAAUAUUUCACCAAUAUAGAAGAGCGGCUAUACUCAACAAAUAUAAAUUUUCAAUAGUCUAGCCGAGUGGCUGUACUCUAUAAAUAUAAAUUUUUUAACAGUACAACCGCAUGGCUAUACUCUUUAAAUAGAAAUUUCAAAAUUAUAGCCGUCCGGCUAUACUAGUUAAAUAGAAUUUUUCCAACAGUAUAGUCGCACGGAUAUACAAAAUCGCUUUUCUCAUUCAACGAAGUAGUUUUUCAUUUUUAUUUUUUCUGUAACGGGGCGGGUCAGGGAACCAGUUCCUUAAUAAAGGCUGGUAUGGGCCAAUGGCGGAUUGAAGACCGACAUAUUCUGAAUAUGGGCACCAAUAUACCGGUCGACUAGUUCUCCUAGCCAGUGGCAGUGGUUGCGGUUGAUUUCCCCCAUGAUCACCUAUUGGACAACCUUUGCCUUUUCUGUUCUUGGUGUUUCACCAUUUUGGCCAACCAUAGUCUCUAGUACCUCGGCCAUACUUAAUUCCAGUCACCUUAAAUGUAACCCAAAAUACUUGGUCGAACUCAUUCAUUUUUGCCCGCCUUAGGUGGCUUUUGGCAGCGCUUAAUUUUUUUUAAAAGCAACUUUAAUACAAAUUUGGCAUGAGUUGGGUGUUUGGUAAACCCAAAAAAACACGCUUAUUUUAAAAACACCCAUCAUAAAAAGCAAAAACUCAACGUCAGGUAUAUGGAGCUUUCAAAAGCUGUUUAAAAAAAGAGCUGGUUUUCUUGUUAAUGAAAGUUUCAUUAUCCCUAUAGUACCCCUAAGUAUUUCACAAAAUGACAACGUUUGACCCUCUCACAAAAUAGAUCUCGCGACCUUCACACUUUCUGACCUCACUCUCAGACUGCUCUUCUCACUAUUCUUCUUCUUCCUCCCCCUGCAUCUCAAAACUCCAUCUCAAUCAAGGACUUUAAUUGCCAACAACAAUCAGCUACUUAUCAGUGAGUUCAUCUUCCCAUUACAUUUAUGAUUUUUGGGUUUAUAUAUGUUAUGAAAUUAGGUUUUUCAUUUGGUUCUAUGCAAUUGGGGGCUUUGUGUUCUUGAGGCUUUAAGGGGAAAAUACGGGAGAGACAGAGAGAGAGUUUUGCUGCAAGUUUUGUACUGGGUUUGUCUCUCCUUGCUCUUUGACAAGGAGAGAUUUCUCCCUAGCUUGGUUCAAUUGGCCUUUGGGUCAGAUACUUCUCUCUCUGUUUCUAUUUCUCUGAAACAUGUCUGUCCUGGAUGCUUUUUUUCUAUAGAUUACACAACCAUCAUUGUUCAUAGAUUUACUCAUUGUAUAGUUUGGUACAGUUCCAAAAUAUCAAGAACAAAACCCGUUAUGCUAAUCUGGUUCUUUAUAUACAUAAAUAUAAAUAUAAAUAAAUAUAUAUAUAUAUAUAUACAGUCCCCUUCUAUUGAGAGAUCUCUCAAAUAAUUUUAUUUGAGGGACGCCCUUAGGGUACCCUACAAUUUUCUUUCCAAUGAUCCAAACCAUCUAUUUUUUAGGUCUUCAUUCAUAAAUCAUCCUUACAAAAAAUUAGAUAAAUCGGAAACCGUUUUGACAUCCAAUUGUAUCUUACAAAAUCAAUGAACACGUUCCUUCAAGAAAGUACUAAAAUUUCAAUAACUCAAAUGAGUGGUCAAAUGAUAUCAUAUUCGAGUAAUUUUUUUGUAGAGAUGAUCUUUGAAUGAAUAUCUACAAAAUAGACUGUUUGGAUUAGUUAAAUACAAUUCGGAGUGGGGCCUAUAAGGAGUGUCCCUCAAAUACUUAUUUGAGGGAUCCCUCAAUGGAAACUCUCUGUAUAUAUAUAUAUAUAUAUAUAUAUAUAUAUAUGAUUGCAACCCAAGUCCCCAAGUCAGGUCCGUGUUGAUUUUUCCAUUGUCCUAACCUUGUUGUCUUCAAGCUCAAACAUAAUUCCUUUGGACUUUAGUUUUAGUUCUCUUUUAGUUAGAAGACAAGAAAAGAGUGAAGAAGCCAUUAGCUCCAGAUCUGGGGCUUCUGUUUUCUCAAGAAUUUUUUUAAAAAAAAAAAAGAUCCUAUUAUGUGAAACUGCUGUUCCAUCUAAGUUGUCAUCCAUUAUUGUGUUAGAAGAUUUUUGGUAAACAAAGCUUUUAUUUUUUAGUGGUCAUAGUUUCAAGUUCUUCCUUAUUAUUAUUUUUCAGUGUCGGUGGACUUUAUUAUUGUGUUAGAAGAUUUUUGAUUGGGUAAUGGUUUGAAGUUCUUCCUUCUAUUUAUAUUUUUUUGUGUUGGUGGGCUUUAUCAAAAGUGAUUGUAGCAUGCUGGUCAUUGUGGUGGGGAACUCAUAAACUGACAUAUGGUUGAAAUAUAAAAAUUUUGUAAAUUGGUAUGAAAUUGCAUUCUCAGUAAAUUAUGGGAAUGCAAUAUCAUCUUGCCUUAGAACAUAUGAUAGAAACAAAACAUUUUAACCACAACACAGACUUAAGAGAUUCAAUAAACUGUUCCCUAGUAAGCUGGAAAUAUUGGCUAAGACUUUAUGUUAUCUUUGUCUCCUCUUGGCAGAAUAGGCUUGCUAGUUCCUCAAGUAAUAUAUGUUAAAGAUUAGGAAAAUUAUAUAGUUCUUGUUCUUAGGUCAAUUGUGAAGGUGAUCAGUUUAUUUUCAUGUGUGGAUUCUUUUCGUUCUUGGUUUUCUUUCAUGAAUCAUUAGGAAUACUCUAUGCUUGGACUCUUUGUCCCUUGUUGAGAAUGAGAAGUGGGUUUAAGGAAGUUUUGUUGGGAGCCAUCAUCAUUUUUAAACAUAUAGCAUAUAGUGGAUAAUAUAGAUGAAUAUUCAUACCUGUGGGAAAAGGAAAGUUUGUUAUUUUUAUGCUUUUAGUAUAAUGUAUAUCUUGGGACAAUUAUUUGCUAUUAUCUAUUUCUCAUACUCAACACAUAUUGCUUUAGUAAGGAUGGGAAAGAAUGUGAGAAGUUCAUCAAAAGCUCCAGCGACAUGGAAUAACCAUAAUAUAUCCAUAUUCUGUGAUUUGUGCAUCAAGGAGAUAUGCCUAAUUAUCCAUUCAACAAGCAAGUGAAGAUAGUCAUUGCUACAAUGACACUUCAUAAUUAUAUAAGGAGGCAUGCCCAACGUGAUAGACAUUUUGAUGCUUCAAAUGAUAUCUUAAGUGAAGAGAUAGGUGAGGAUGUUGAUGUACAACAAGAAGUUCAUAGUCUUAAUGACAAUGGAACACAAGAGAUGGAAGCAUUGAGAAAUAGCAUCGCUACAAGUUUCAUGAAUGCAUCUAAUUAGCUUCUUUUAUAUUGUAGUGAUCCAUUUUGGCAUGUUAAAAUUGAACAAUUUUUGUAUAUUUGUUAUGCUAACCCUCUCCGAAGCCCUCAAAACACAUUGUUAUUAUUAAUAUAACAAUAUUUAGAACUACUUUUGUUACAAUAUUAAUUUAUAAUUUAUGGUAAUAUAUGUGUGCUAAUUGUAGAUUACAAAUUUUGAUAAAUUAAAAAUGUGUAAAUUAAAAAAGAAAACAAAUUUAUGUAGUGAAGUUUGUUUUCUUUUUUUUAAAGUAGAAAAAGAAUGAAGAAAAAAAGAAACCGUUUCAUCAUCAUGUCCUUUUCGUUCAUUAUACAUACUAAAAGCACUUCUGAUAAAAAUUUACCGAACACUUCGACUACUCACAGCCUUUUUUCAUAUACAGUUUACCAAACGCCUAGCUGUUUUUUUUUCAUAGCUGAUUAUUUUCGCAGCACAGCAGAAACAGUUUUUUUUUAAAGCACAACAAUGCCAAACUAGCCCUUAGUUGACUCCCAUUUAUUUUUCUGCUAUUCUAGAUCUAGUCAUUAUCAAUCACCAUAAUAAAGCUCCACUUCUUGUAGUUUCAGUUUCACCUGUGCCUUUGAUUAUUUAGAACAAUUUAGACUUUAAUGAUAUGGUCACGGUUACAGCACAAAAGACAAAUACCAAAAGCGGCCCUCGUGAAGAAGGGUAUGGUCAUUGGUCACCCUCAGUUUCACUUGUGCCUUCUCAUCACCUUCGCUCUCGCCUCCUCAUCACUCUCUGUCGUCUGUGGUGCGCAGGAGCACCACCACCACAACAACAUUAUCAGCCAUGGAGCUCUCUCCGACACCGAAGCCCUCUACAUCAAGCAGCGCCAGCUCCUCUACUACGGGGACGAGUUCGGCGACCGAGACGAGCUAGUCACGGUCGACCCAUCUCUGGUUUUCGAGAACCAGAGAAUCAGAAAUGCUUACAUGGCUUUACAAGCUUGGAAGCAAGCCAUUCUCUCCGACCCGCUUAAUCUCACGGGUAAUUGGGUCGGAUCUAAUGUCUGCAACUGUAUUCAAUUUAAUCAACUGUAGGAUUCAUUUACAAGGCGAGUGGAAGGAGUCAUCAAUUUUGAAUUAACAAGUUUCUACUGUAACGUAUAACAACUAUGUUCAUAUUUAUUGGCUGGAUAAGUUGUUAUAUUCAGCCAAUUACUAGGAUAAUGUAUGCACUUAAGAUCCAAGUCCUUUCACUUUUGUGCCACAUAGAAUUACAUUCCUUUUUUAAUAUUUUAUGAUAUAAUUUUUUAUAUUUUUUAUUUUGAAAUCAUUUUUUUGUCCAAUGUCACCCCUUAUGACUUGAAUCGGGUAAUAGUCAUUUAUGUCAUAUUGCCUGUCACCAAUUGCGUAGGUAUAUAUAUGUUUUUUCAUAUUUUUGACAAUGUGUCAUUGUAUUUUAUGUACCUUUUUUUAAUAGGUAACAUGCAAUUUUAUGUUGUCUAUUUUUGUAUCUGACUUAUAGGUAGUCUUCUAAUUUAUGUUCCUAACUUAUAGAUAACGCGAUUUAUCAUUAAGCAUUUUUCGUUGAUAAUAAUAACACUAUUUACAUGUAUGUUAGGUACAUAAUUUAAUGUGCUUGUCUGAUCGAUUGGUAUAAUAUAUGGGUCUUUACUUUUUAUUAAUUAAAUUGUAUUUUAUCCAUAUAUUAGGAAUAUUAUCAAAGAAAGAAUUCAAAUUUUAAAUUAUGAAAUUCAAUUAUAAGGAAAUAAUGCAUUAAAUUUAGAUUUUCAAUGUGGUUUCCUUAUUUACCUCAAAGGGUAAAAUUGACACAACAAAAAAAGUAAUAAAUGUCAAAGAACCGAUAUCUAAAACAAAAAACGCGAGGACUAAACCCAAUGACAGCUCUUGACAGUGUGCCUAUGGAUGAGGAAGAGAAAGUUGUGCUUGACUGAUGAUUGACGAAAACUUUCGCAAGCAAAACCUCUCUAGCAUUGCUCGUGCAAUUGAGGAGCUGUAUGGGUUUGGUGUUGUGUGAUAGAGUGUAUUAAGGUGUAUCAUGAGUAUUUUUGGUAGUUAAAUAGGGUGUACUUAGUUAAUUUUACAUUUUAAUUUAAAUAUUAAAGUGUACUUAGAUCAUAGGAUGCACCCAAUUAAUUCUAGAAUAUUCGUUUAACCACACUCUAUUAUUAUUAACAGUUUUCUAUCAAAACAAAUCCAACCUUAAGGUCCUUAACUAUUGCCUUGCAACCAUAUAUAAUUAUUGUGGUGACCUUCUCGAAUCAUCAAUUUUUAUUCAUUUAAGUUGUUGGUCAACUGUUGCAGUCAAGUUAUUCUCCUGAACUCGAGUCCCAUCAAGAAUGGGUCAAGGAGGUGAGUAAUUGUCUCACUUCCACAUGUAAACAAACAAAGGCCUCACAAAACUCUCCAAAGAAUACGCAUUCUUUGCUUCUUUUCCCUUUAUAAGAAGAAGAAAGCCCUGUCUAAUUCAUCAUCAGCAAUACAUAGAAUAGAACCAACACUAGCAAACUCAACAUCAACAAUGUCGACAAACUCUAGCACUACUGUCCUUGCCUUUGCCUUUUGUUUCUUGUCCCUCCUCAGAUUGGCUUACUCCAACACCACUGACGACAAAAUCUACCUCACCGGCCUGGUCUACUGUGACAACUGCCAAUUGAAGUCUAUGACCGAGAUCAGUAAGAUGAUUCCAGGUACGUAACGUUAAUAAGUAGGUAACAAACUACAUAAAUGUGGAUUAUAAGAUUUGAAUAUGAGAUUUAUGCAUGCAUGCAUGCACAUUGCCCAUUGAUCAGGUGCAAGGGUGCGAUUGGAGUGUAGGGAGGGCGGGAACAUAAAAUCCAGACGAGAGGGCGAAACCAACCCGCUUGGAAUGUACGUGUUUGUGUUGGAAAAAUCUAAGGAGCCUUUGGAUGAUUGUCAAGUGACAGUGCUACACAGCCCCGACCCUGAAUGCAAGAUUUCCCACGAGGUCGACCCUAACAACAAAUCGAAAACUGCGCCGGUGGCCACCCGGAAGCUCAACCUUUUGGAGGGAGACAGCGUCGUUUUCAUCGGACCAAGCCACCGCGUUUCCUACCCUCUUGGUUUGGUCGUUGAGAAAGCUCGUCCGGAGUGCGAGCAGUUCGCCAAAGCACGCAAGCAUUUUCAGAACUAAUUUAAGGAAUUGAAGACUAAAUGAAGGCGAAAACCGUCUGAUAUUAAAUCAAUUUUCAAUUUCAGUGAAUUUUUAUUUUUGAUUGCAAAGAUAGAUAAAUUGUGGUUUAAGAAAUCAACAGUUAUGAUUAUGAUAUAUGCUCGGUUAUGAUUCGUGAAUUCACAACUAGUAUAAACAAAGAAGUGUAAUUAGAAGUGCACUCAAGUAUUAUAUCCGUGAAGAUACUGCCAUGUCGAUUAAUCUAGUCUUUUUAUUUUUUACUUUAUUAAUUCUUAAUUAAGAUUCAAUUUAGGACCUAUUUAAAGAGAAGAAAAAUAUGAUUUAAAAUCUAUCUUAUAACCUAAUAAUCUCCUAAUCAAAAUACUAAACUUUUAACAUGUCACCUAUCAAUUUUGCCCUUAAUUAUACUAAGCUUAAAUUCCAUGGUCCAUACUAGUUUGAUUUUUAUUUUUUAUUUUAAUGUGAAAAUUUGGUCUUUUCUUUAAAAUAAUGUGCUAGAUAAGCGUGAAAGUAGCAAAUAAAUAAUGAUGUGUUCACAUUGGAUUUGACACACAUCUCAACCCAUAUCAUCAUUAAGGCCCCAAAAAUUGAAUCAUUAUGUGCCGGUUAAUACGUUAAGUAGUUUAUGAAGUGAUUAAGAUCAAAGGGGAUCCAUGACUUGUAAUGGAUCACUUGUUCAUUUCCUUAAAAAAAUAAUUAAAUAAAUAAACUCGCAAUACCGACUCCAUUCGUAAUUCCAUCAAUUACUCAUCUAUCAAAAAAAUUAGUUAGUUCAGCUAAUCUUCUUAUACUGUUAGUAAAGGAUAAUGUGAAAUUAGCAAAAAAAUAAUGAUUAACGGCCCAAAACAUUGAAUUAUUGUGUGCCUAAGUUAGAAAAUCUUCGAAGGCACGUAGAAAGACAGGUCCCCCAUCUAGUAUACUAUGAGGAAAAGGACGGCUCACAAGAAGUUUAUGUACUAUAAAAUCCCAGAUGCUCAUUGAAUGUCUUGUGCCCAUCCAAGAUUAAAUAUAUUUCCAUAGAAUACGUACCAAUUGUGCUUAUUUACUUUUUACCAUGGCUCUCACAAAUCGAGGCCAAUACCUCUACGUAGAUUUUCUUUUCAUUUUGGCCAUUUGCUCCUCUCAAGCAUCGUCUCGCCAAAUUUAUGAUGAGAAAACCAUGUUGGCGAGACAUGAAGACUAGAUGGCUCAAUUUGGGCCAGUUUUUUUUAUAAGGAUGCAGAGGAGAAAGAGAGGUGAUUCGUGAUAUUAUCAAGGCCAACUUGGAGUUCAUUGAGGCUUUGAACAAGCACAUGGGUCAGAACUACUUCACUCUAGACUAAGCUUAAAUGAAUUUGCAGACCUAACCAAUGAGGAGUUUCGGGAAAUUCGUAAUGGUUACAUGAAACGAUCCUCCAAAUUGAUCAUGUCCAAUUCCACGAAAGCUACAAGUUUUGGAUAUUGAAAUAUCACUGAAGUGCCACCUUCAGUGGAUUGGAGAGAAAAGGGUGCAGUGACGCCUAUCAAGGACCAAGGCAAAUGUGGUAAGUAUUAAACAAGUUGUUAAAUGAUGACGCAUUCACUGUUUCACAACAUAACAUGUUCUUGAAUGAUGAGGCAUGUUAUUUCAAUUUUAUAGGGUGUUGUUGGGUGUUCUCAGCAGCGGCAGCGACAGAAGGGGUUAACCAGCUCAAAACCGGAAACUUAAUCUCACUAUCAGAGCAAGAGCUUGUGGAUUGUGACACUACAGGUCAAGAUCAUGGCUGUGAAGGUGGUCUAAUGGAUGACGCUUUCCAAUUCAUCCAACGCAAGAAAGGCUGACAACUGAAGCUAAUUGCCCCUACCAGGGUGUAAAUGGAACUAGUUGCAACACUCAGAAGGCUGCAUCCCAAACAGUGUCCAUAAACGGCUACGAGAAUGUGCCUAAAAACAACAAAAAUGCUAUGUUGCAAGCCGUCGCUAACCAACCAAUUUCGGUUGCCAUUGACACAAGUGGUUGUACAUUCCAGUUUUAUUCAAGUGGUGUGUUCACUGGAACAUGUGGUAUAAACUUAGAUCAUGGUGCGGGACUAGUAGUGAUGGGACUCUAAAUACUGGCUGGGGAGGAAUUCUUGGGGCACGGUGGGCGGAGAGUGGAUAUGUGACGAUGCAAAUGGGCAUUCCUGCCAAGGAAGGACUCUGUGGCAUUGCUAUUGAAGCUUCUUAUCCAACCGCAUGAUUAAUUAAAAUACAUAUAUAUGUCUGUAAACACGAAUUUCCUGCGACAAAUGAGAAAAAAACACAUAUACAAAAUAAUAUUUGUAUUAAUGAAAUUUAGGGUUACAAUCUCUGUAUUGAAUCCUCUGAUUCGAUCUCCAAAGUGUUUAAAGAAAAUUUGCGAUUGAUAGAAGGGUCGUAGAGACUUGAUCUUGAUCAAACGGGUAGCACAAGGCUUGUUUGGUGUUUGGAUUUUUCUAGGAUGGAGGAACCGGCACAUAUUUGUUGUGCUUGAUGGCUCUUCCAAAGUGAGGUGAAGAAUGCAGAGAGUUUUCUGUUUCUUCUGAAUGCUUUGUCUGUCUAGGCCCCCUUCUUUCGCCUUGAGGCCUCCUAUUUAUAGGCUCCUACAGGAUGCUUGACCUAAAUAGCUUUCCUUUUUUAGGACCCUGCUUUGUGGAAUUCUGAUUUGAUUUAAAAUCAAUUCCAAUAAUUUGGCAAUUUAACCAAAUUAUCUUUGAUUGAUUGACUUGAUUAAUAUUUGAUUUAAAUCAAAGUCAAUCACAGAAGAUUCUUUCCUUUAAUUUUGUCUUCACUUCGAACUGUUUGAUGCACUUCGUCGGAUGUCAACAUGUAUCACUUUUGACAACUAAUCUGAAUUUGAUGAGUCGUACGCCACAUGAACUAAUUAUGGGCCCCACAAUUUAAUCAACCAAACCCUAAUUAUUUUCUUACUUAGUGAAUUUAAUUCACCAAAAUUUCCAUGUCUACAAUGUCAUAAUAUAGUGUGUUGUAUAAAAUAUGUAUAAUUGAAUAAUACAGAAAGACGCUAGCUAUGAGCUGCUAUCCUUCACUUUGAAAUCCAUGCCUCAGAACAUAGAGACAAUUAACCAUGACGUGGAUUUGCUCUUAAAAUCUCACGCAAUUAAUUAGCAGCUCUAGCUAUGAGGUUGAAAUGUUUUCAAUACCAUUGCAAGGUUAAAUCAAGUUAGAUUAAGGGAGCAUAUUUUUGUUCAUCAUCAUUCUCAAUACUUGACACGUGUCUAUUAGUAUAAUCAUGAUUCCUUAAAUUUAUACAGCAAAGAAUUAACUAUGGUUAUGCCAAUGAACACGUACCAAGUGUUAAGAUGGGGGGUGGAUUGGAUCUAAUGUCUACAACUGUAUUCAAUUUAAUUAACUGUAGGAUUCAUUUACAAGGCGAGUGGAAGGAGUCAUCAAUUUUGAAUUAACAAGUUUCUACUUUAACGUAUAACAACUAUGUUCAUAUUUAUUGGCUGGAUAAGUUGUUAUAUUCAGCCCAUUACUAGGAUAAUGUAUGCACUUAAGAUCCAAGUGCUUUGACUUUUGUGCCACAUAAAAUUACAUUCUUUUUCUAAUAUUUUAUGAUGUAAAUUUUUUAAUUUUUUAAUUUUGAAAUCAUUUUUUGGUCCAAUAUUACCCCUUAUGACUUGAAUUGGGUAAUAGUCAUUUAUGUCAUAUUGCCUAUUACUUGUUGCAUAGGUAUAUAUAUGUCUUUUCAUAUUUUCGACAAUGUGUCAUAGUAUUUUAUGUACCUUUUUUUAAUAGGUAACAUACAAUUUUAUUUUGUCUAUUUUUGUAUUUGACUUAUACGUAGUUUUCUAAUUUAUGUUUCUAACUUAUAGAUAACACGAUUUAUCACUCAGUAUUUUUCGUUGCUAAUAAUAACACUAUUUACCUGUAUGUCAGGUACAUAAUUUAAUGUCGGUGCUUGUCUGAUAGAUUAGUAUAAUAUGUGGGUCUUUACUUUUUAUUAAUUAAAUUGUAUUUUAUCCAUAUAUUAGGAAUAUUAUCAAAGAAAGAAUUUAUAUUUUAAAUUCUGAAAUUCAAUUACAAGGAAAUAAUGCAUUAAAUUUAGAUUUUCAAUGUGGUUUCCUUAUUUACCUCAAAGAGUAAAAUUGACACAACAAAAAGAGUAAUAAAUGUCAAAGGACCUACAUCUAAAACCAAAAAAACGAGGACUAAACCCAAUGGCCGCUAAUCGUUUUGGACCUAGAUCUAAGAAACACUUUUAUUUAUUAUCUAACAUCAUUGCAUGCCAUUGACAGUGUGCCUAUGGAUGAGGAAGAGAAAGUUGUGCUUGACUGAUGAUUGACGGAAACUUCCGCAAGUAAAUCCUCAAUGCUACCAGUUGAAGGCCCUUCGAUGCUAAAGUUAGCUUAAGGGGAUGAGAGCAAGCUAUCGACAAUGCAAGGACAUAAGUGUCAAGUAGCAAGUCUUACCCUGUAUCUGGGGUGAGGAGCUAUAUUUAUAGGGAGUUCUAGGUUUUUUUUGGUACUUAGUUUCGAUGUGGGACUCGUGGGAGUGCCUUCCGAGGCAGAAACGCGUCUCAACAAAUAUCCUAGCGAUGAACUCGAGAACAUCCUACAAGAUGCCUUCUAAGGCGUAGAAUUGGCAAAAGACCCUUAAGGUUGUGCGUAGAAUCGAUCGUGGGUGUCGAAAAGACCUACCGAUUCGUACUAUUGGGCUUGCCAGCAUGGGCCAUGGAGCCUUCUUUAGUGUCAUACCCCUUCCACGUGUCAUGGCAUGAGAUGCGGGUCAGGUUAAAUUAAUUAAACCCAUUAUGCAAUGCAUUUCCUUUCAAUUUUUUGUGAUAAACUAAUAGAUAAUUGACUAAAUAAACAUCCUCCAAAGUUUAAAAAAAAAAAUACCAAGUUUUUCUUACAAUUUCUGUAGUUUUUAUUCAAUUUUUAUCGAUAUCGAUAAUAUCCCUAUAUUUCCAUCGAAAUUUCCGUAUUUUUAAAAUGAGACACACCUAUUUUCAAUUGACUACCUAAUUAGUUAACAAAUUAUGAAAUAAAUAAAUAACAAACCAUACAAUCAUGUUUUGAUUCUAAGAUGCUGACAAGUAUGUAUGUUUUUGGGAAAAUAUAUAUUAGGGAGAAGAUAUUAUUGUACCACAUUAUGAAUCACUUUUCUGAUAGAUAUGAGACCUACUUAUAUUGGUAGGUCAUACCUUUAUUAGAGAGGUGGUACAUUAUGCAAUACAAUGAUGUAGUUUCUCCAACAUUACUUUUAUCUUUAAUCAACAUGUAGAACUGUUUCGAACUUGGAAUUGCUUUCAACAUUGGGCUACGUGGGCAGGAAUUCUAGGCUUGGCUUACAAUUCUCUCAUUCUCCAACCUCUUGGAUUUGCUUGCUUGGAUUACCUUAUUGCUGGCUCAUUUGGCUUCAGUUGAGCCACAUUUAGUGCCAAAUCAAAUCGCAUCUUUGUCAUGCCUUUGGCCUUCGAAUCCACUAUGACCUAUUUUGCUCUUCUUUCAACAGUAGUCAUGUUUGAUCCAACCUUGGCUAAGGUUUGAUUCGGCUUAGCUAAAUUUGCAUUCACCAUGUUGGUCUGGGCAGAUGGGAAAGGGUCCUUGUUGAUUGGACUCUUGUCACCCCCAAUUCGAAAAUAAAGAAUAUUCCUGAAUUAGGGUACGUGAAUUGAAUGAAAUAAAAUAAAAAGACUGAAAAAUUAGUUAAAAUACAUUUUUCUUAUAUAAAAAUAAUAAUAAACUUACAAGUGUACAAGAUAUAAAUCUUUUUUAUUUAUUAUCUAACAUCGUUGCAUGCCAUUGACAGUGUGCCUAUAGAUGAGGAAGAUAAAGUUGUGCUUGACUGAUGAUUGACGGAAACUUUCGCAAGUAAAUCCUCUCUAGCAUAGCUUGUGCCGGAAGUGCAAUUGAGGAGCUAUAUGGGUUUGGUGUUGUCUGAGUGUAUUAAGAUGUAUCAAUGGUAUUUUUGGUAGUUAAAUAGGAUGUACUUAGUUAAUUUUACAUUUUAAUUUAAAUAUUAGGGUGUACUUAAAUCAUAGAGUGUACUCAAUUAAUUUUAGAAUUCGUUUAACCACACUCUAUUAUUAUUAAUAGUUUUCUAUCAAAACAAACCCUUAAGGUCCUUAACUAUUGGCUUGCAGCCACAUAUAAUUACUGUGGUGACCUUCUCGAAUGAUCAAUUUUUAUUCAUUUAAGUUGUUGAUCAACUGCUGCAGGCAAGUUAUUCUCCUGAACUCGAGUCCCAUCAAGAGCGGGUCAAGGGGGUGAGUAAUUGUGUCAAUUCCACAUGUAAACAAACAAAGGCUCACAAACUCUCCAAAAUAUACGCAUUCUUUGCUUCUUUUCCCUUUAUAAGAAGAAGAAAGCCCUGUCUAAUUCAUCAUCAGCAAUACAUAGAAUAGAACCAACACUAGCAAACUCAACAUCAACAAUGUCAAGAAAGUCUAGCACUACCGUCCCUGCCUUUGCCUUUUGUUUCUUGUCGCUCCUCAGUUUCGCUUACUCCAACACCACCAAUGACAAAAUCUACCUAACCGGCCUGGUCUACUGUGACAACUGCCAAUUGAAGUCUAUGACCGAGAUAAGUAAGAUGAUUCCAAGUACGUAACGUUAAUAAGUAGGUAACAAACUACCUAAAUGUCGAUUAUAAGAUUUGAAUAUGAGAUUUAUGCAUGCAUGCAUGCACAUUGCCCAUUGUUCAGGUGCAACGGUGCGAUUGGAGUGUAGGGAGGGGGGAACAUAAAAUCCAGCCAAGAGGCCGAAACCAACCAGCUUGGACUGUACGUGUUUAAGUUGGACAAAUCUAAGGAGCCUGUGGAUAAUUGUUAAGUUGAAAACUGCACCGGUGGCCACCCGGAAGCUCAACCUAUUGGAAGGAGACAGCGUCAAUGUCAUCGCACCAAGCCACCGCGUUGCCUACCCUCUUGGUUUGGUCGUUGAGAAAGCUCAUCCCGAGUGCGAGCAGUUCGCCCAAGCGCGCAAGCAUUUUCAGAACUAAUUUAAGGAAUUGAAGACGAAAACCGUCUGAUAUUAAAUCAAUCUCCAAUUUCAGUGAAUUU